This 62405-nucleotide long non-coding RNA is filed under the name Triticum aestivum (bread wheat). Its description in RNAcentral is "long non-coding RNA (TAES_LNC018881)". The record is from RNAcentral. Lineage: Eukaryota; Viridiplantae; Streptophyta; Magnoliopsida; Poales; Poaceae.
UCAUCGAAAGAUCGGGACACCUUGCCUCUAUCAAGUGGUAUCAGUUUUCAGGUUGCUCGGUGAGAUUUUACAGUUUUUCAUAGUUUAGAUCGCAUCUGUCAUUCAUACCUACAGUCCAUGAAAAAGCCAUAAAAAGUUAGAUCUGUUUAUCAUUUAUCCAAGCCAGUCUGAGCCUUUGCAAUUUUCUAUUCAUUGCUUGCAUAGUUGAAUUAUCGGUUGCAUCGUCGUGUUAGUUGCUGGUCUUAGUGUCUAGUUCCUUUAGAGUUUCGAGUUCUGUUCACAUUAGUCACGCUGCCGCUGCAUCAUUAUCCCUUCCGCUGUCCACCAUCCCAUCCAUUAAAUUCCAUCACGUGCUACGCACUGUUCAUUGUCAUAAUCAUAGUUGUGGUCAUUCACAUCUUCGCCUGAUCCAAUCUGCAUCUUAUCUAGUUUGUCUUGGAAAGAGGGAGAAAAAAAAGAUAGAGGAAAAAAAAGAGAGGAAAAAAAAAGAAAAAGAGAGAGAAGAAAAAGAAAAAAAAAGCGUGAGAAAAAAAAGAGAGAAGAAAAAAAAAUCGGAUCUAUCUAGAAUCAAUCUCGUACCUGAAUUCGGAUUGGAAUCUGUUUUGCGCACUGUUCAGUAAAAACAGGUGUAUCUUCCUCAUACGAAGUCCGUUUUGGCUCCGUGAGUACUCAAAUUGAAGCUAGCGACGAGCCGCAUCUAAAUAGUUGCAGAAGCUAGUUCAAUAUUUGACACCUCAAAAUCGGCUUCUAAAUAGGUCUUUUUGCCCUCUGAAGUUCGUGAACACAGCUUGUUCCAAUUUUUCAGGCCAGUUUUAGAAUUCUUUGACUCCUCAUAUCAACUCGGAAUUGAGUGAUUCUUUUUGCAUUGGAAAGCCUGAGUUAGUAGCAUUCUUUGAAAGAAUUUCUCAGAAAAUUGGCUCAAACUUUUCAAGAGGAAAGUUGGAGAGAGAGUUGUUGUAUAUCCUGUUUGGCAGUUAUUUUUUAUCAUUAUCUUUACUGCCGUUGUGAUCUUCACUUAUAUCUUGCUGUCCAGAACUACUUAGUAUCCUUCAUUGAUGCUAGUUGUGCUACGCCGUGACCUCAUUAGUGUUCUAGGCUCGCGUCUCUGGUCCGGUCUAGCCUAGGACCAGCACAGUACCGUCGUUGAGCGUUUAUUCAACAUUGCAUCUUUGAAUUGAUUAUUGCUAAUCUUUUGCUACCAUAUAUAGCCAACCUAGCUUCACAUAUUUCUACACCGUGUAUACGUACGCUCCCCUGGCAAUCGCUUCACUCAAUAUUCGGAGUUAUUUGACACCGCUGGUUGCCGAUCACCGCCUGCUGCAUGGUAAGAACUUGUAAGGCAUUGAUAUUUGCUUUACUGUGAGCGUUUUACCACCACAUCCUAGUAGUUAUAGGAAUAUUAUUUUUGGAUUUUGUUUCUUGUUCUACUAAUCAUGACAGGAUCCAGAGUCAAUUCAUGGGCUUUGUCGAUCGCAGGAGACAUGCCACCACCUAUGCAAAUAUCACAACCGUCAUGAGAGGUGCACAAACAUCCAAAUGCACAUGAUCAGGUUAAUGUAUCUAUACCACCAUUUAAUGGCCGUUUUAGACCUGCUUUAUAUAUUGAAUGGGAGUUCGACAUAAAAAAUAUAUUUGCUUCCCAUAAUUUCGAUGAACAUAAAAAGGUUCAGGUUGCGGUUGGUUCUUUCACUGGUUAUGCUUUGGUUUGGUGGAGUGAAUAUUGUCGGUUACACCCUGAUUAUAUACCUACUACUUGGGAUGAUUUGAAACUUGCCAUGCGACAUACUUUCGUCCCUGCUUAUUAUACUCGUGACAUGAUUAAGAAGUUGCAACACUUAACACAAGGUAGUGAAACUGUAACAAGAUAUUAUGAUAAUUUACAAACUACCUUGUUGCAUUCCUCUUUAGAAGAAAGUGAAGAUGAUUUUAUGGAUAGAUUUUGGGGAGGAUUAAACCGUGAUAUUCAAGAGAUACUAAUUCAUGAAGAGUGUUAUCAUAUGGACCAUUUGUUUCAUCUUGCUUGCAAAGCUGAACAGGAAAUAAAACGACGUGUUGGCCACGAGGAGAACAAGCGCACGGUGCACAUUCCAAGAGUUGAUACGAUUGUUCCUUCAACUACUAGGCAUACUAUGACAACCACAUUCGUUGUUGUCAGGACUACAUCACCUCCACCAUGUGACACAUCGCCCCCGAGAGUGGCUACAUCAUCUGAGUUGAUCAUAAGAGGUAAUGACAAAGGUACUGAUCUUCCAUCUCUACAUGAGAAUGAUGAAUGCCUUGUCAAUUUGAAUGCACCAUCUGAUGAGCUACCCACUACUUUGAUCACACCACCUAUUUUAGAGGACUAUGUUGAUAAUUUGACUUUGCCAUGUGAUCAAACAACUGAAAUACCAACAAUUUUGAGUGCACCCAUUGAAUUAACUAUUGGUGCAAAAGAACCAAUGUUUAAUCAUUUUGAUAUGACCUCUAAUCUUGGUGAUGAUUCUGUGUUGAAUGACUUAUUGCAUGUUUGCUUAUUUAAGCAUGUUGUAGCAUGUAAAUUUGAUGCAAGUAAGGUUUAUUCAUCAAUGUUGGGAUGGUUUAAUGAUGAACAUUGUCAAUCUUUUGAAAUGAAUAAGAGCUUCACUUAUAUGUGCAAACUGAGUUGCAAUAUUUUCAUGCCUUCUACUUCUUGUGCUAAUUUUUUGGAUUUCGAUUUUAUGAACUAUGCAAGUUACUCAUCUAUUCAUGUGUCAUAUAUGCAAAAAUCAAGGGAAGUAAAAAUGGAUGACAUAUACAUAUACAACAUGUACACCUUGUCUCUUUUGUUAGCCACAUUUCAGAUUAAGCAACGCCGAGGACGGCUUUAUUUUCAAGAAGGGGAGGAUGAUGAGGACAUGACUACCUUGGAUAUGACCAAAAAUAUUGCAUAUAUGCAUAUUUGUCAGGUGAUUUCUAGUGCAAACUAUUCAAUAAUCUAUUUAUGUUAUCCAGAACAAAAAUACUUCACACACUUUUGUGUUUUGUCUAAUUGCAGGUGUAUGGGACAUUUGUACAAUCCACAUAUGAAGAUAAGGAAGAAAGAGAUGUUUAUUUGCUGUCCAAAAAGUUCUCUCACGUCACUUUUGGCCCAAGAGAAGAUAGAGUCCAAGUCUCUCACGUUCUGGAUUCAGAUUCGGACUGCACAGACAUACCUGACUCAAAACGCAUACAAGUUUUUCAUACGGACUCCGAAUUGGGUGAUUCUUUUUUUGUUGGAAACUAGAUUUCGUGCACUUUCCAACCCAAUCGGAAUCACCUUCAAAUUCGUCCGGAGCGUUGAGUUGUGGACGAAACAAUCUGAUGCUGCAGCAGAAUCCGAGUCAAACUACAAGUCCAAAGGUGUUACAUCACCUCCACUUGGGCCCAUUGGCCUUGUACGACCUAGAUUUAGUUUUAGGCUGCCUUGGGACGUCCUCCCACCUCCUUGGCCGCCACCCCUUGCUCCUAUAUAAGUAGAUCCAUCUAGUAGCUUUUCCUUGGGAUUUGUUUACUUAAAAGUUAGCCAUUGCAACUUCGUGUACUUCGUUUGUGUCCAACGACCAGACCAAGACCGCUUCCGGAUCCCCACCAUUAUCAAUACUUCAUAUAUAUUCGCAAUAUUCACAUUGCUUUAUCAUAUUCUUGCUCGUUCUUCGAUUGCUUGCAGGAAUAGACUUUCGUGGUCAGGUUGAUCGUGCUCCAGUGUGGUCAAUAACCUCUCGGAGUUGGUUUAGCGAUUGCUAAGGCGCAACGUCGUGCACGUUUGUAGUCGGAUCGUCAAAGUCGUCUCCACCAAAUCGAUAGUUAUCAUCUCAUCGAAAGAUCGGGACACCUUGCCUCUAUCACUCGUGGUCAGGUUGAUCGUGCUCCGGCGUGGUUAAUAACCUCUCGGAGUUGGUUUAGCGAUUGCUAAGGCGCGACGUCCUCGCACGUUCGUAGUCGGAUUGUCAAAGUCGACUUCCACCAAAGCGAUAUCCAUCAUCUCAUCGAAAGACGGGACACCUUUGCCUCUAUCAAGUGGUAUCAGAUUUCCAGGUUGCUCGGUGAGAUUUUACAGUUUUUCGUAGUUUAGAUCGAGUCUGUUCUUCAUACCUACAGUCCACGAAAAAGCCACAAAAAAAAUUAGGGUUAGUUCAUCAUAUCCGAACCAAUCUGAGCCUUUGCAUAAUCUUUUUAGGGUUUUGCUUUGUUGAAUUUGCGGUUGCAUCGUCGUGUCUAGUUGCUGGUCUUAGAGUCUAGUCUUUUAGAGUUUCGAGUUCUGGUCAUAAGUUGUCACGCCGCCGCCGCACCAUCAUCAUCGCCCCUGCCAUCUACCACCACCGCUUAUCCGCCACCGCUCCGAAUCCGUAUCCAUAUACCACCACCAGUCCAUGUCCAUAUACCACCACCGAUCCAUAUCCAUAUACUACCACCGCUACCACCACCGCUGCCAUAUACCACCACCAUAUAUCCACCACCAAUCCGAGUUCCUUGCAUAUUAGGUUUGUUUUCGAGAUCCAUCUAGAUUCCGAUUCGUGUUUCCUUGCCGGAGUCGGGUAGCCACGCUCCGUUUAGGCCCAAAAUUUUUCGAAAACGCAUUUUUCGAAAAAAUUUCUGGCUAUCCUAUUUUUAGGUGUUUCUGAGUGUUUUGAGACAGGUGCCAUUAUAGGAAGUUCUUUUUGACCCGUUUCCAGUUUUUGGGUCCGGGCAGUCGAAAAAAAAAUUGGUGGAAAAAAUUUCGUGCCCAUCCUGUCCGUUUGAGCUAGGAAGAGUUUUGAGACACUCGCCAUUAUAGUGAUUUUUCGCAAAAAAAAAGCAGCGCAAAAAAAAGAAAGAGCGCAAAAAAAAGAGCGAAAAAAAAUUCAGAGUGUGCUUUUCCCUUGUUUACGUGCCGCGCCGUGAUUUUGUUGGUGUUCUAGGCUCGCGUCUCUAGCACAGUCUAGCCUAGGACCAGCACAGUACCGUCGUUGAGCAUUUAUUCAACUUUGCAUCUCUGAAUUGAUUAUUGCUGACCCUUUUUGCUACCAUACUAUAAGCCUUCCCAGCUCCACAUACAUCUACGUCGUGUGUUUGACUCUCCCUGGUAAUCGCUCUAUCCAAGCUUUGAGAGUUUUUGACUACAACGGUUGCCGAUCACCGCUUGCUGCUGGGUAAGAACUGGUAAGAAUUUGAGUUUUGCUUGACGGAUUUGUGACACCCACCACCACCACUUGUUCGUAGUCUGUAGGAUCAUAUUCUUGUGUGUUUCUAUUGCUGCUAACCAUGCCAGGAUCACAAGCCGACGAGAUUGACUGGGAGAAUUUAUCGAACAAGGAGCUUCAUGAUAAGUUUCAGCAAAUGAUGACUGAACAGGUGCAAGAUGUGCUGAACAAUUUUGAAGAGGCCAUGGAGAAGAUCACUGGCCUUGAGAAGACGUUCGAAACAAAGCUCGAUAACAGAUUUAAUGAAUUGCUCGCGCGUCUUCCACCACCACCACCCGCUGCACCUAACGCACCUCUCCAACAACAACAACAACGACUGCCUCCACGUCGCGAAAUAGACCUUUGCCGAGCGAGCCGUGUUCCUCUUGCGUUUGGCCAAACUGUUGAUGCUGCUGUUGAUACUUCUGUGGCUCCUGCUACUGCUGUUGCUGGUACCCAGGAGGAUGAUGAGUAUGCGGGCGAUUAUGAGGAUGAGGUUGAUCAAAAUCAGAUCUACGAGCAGCCACCAGCACCACCACCAGCAGGUCGACCUCAGGUAUAUAUUCGUAAUGGUAGGCCUGCACCACCACCUCAGGUACGAGAUGAUGUCCAUAUUCCUAAACUGAAAUUGAAUAUUCCACCAUUUGAGGGUAGAUAUGUUCCUGAUAUAUAUCUUACUUGGGAGUUAGAAACUGAACAACGAUUUACAUGUUUACAAUAUCCUGAGGAGAGACGAGUUGCUGCUGCUGUUUGUGCUUUCACUAGUUUUGCAUGUGUAUGGUGGUCUGAACAUUGUAGAUUAUAUCCUAUUCCAACUACUUGGGCUGCUUUGAAAACUGCUAUGCGUACGCGUUGGGUUCCACCAUAUUAUCAAUGUGAAUUGCUUCAAAAAUUGCAGCGUUUAAGACAAGGAAAAAAUUCUGUAGAAGAAUAUUAUCAGGAAUUACAAACUGGCAUGAUUAGAUGUGGUAUUGUUGAGGAGAAUGAAGCUAUGCUUGCACGUUUUCUGGGUGGAUUAAAUAGAGAGAUUCAGACCAUUCUAGACUAUAAGGAGUAUACUAAUAUCACUUGUUUAUUCCAUCUUGCUUGUAAAGCUGAACGUGAAGUGCAGGAUCGACAAGCAUUGGGGCGAACUAACUUUUCUGCAGGCCGAUCUUCAUCAUGGACACCACGUGCAUCUUCUACUUCAACUGCACCAGCACCUCCAUCCGGUGCCACCUCCAGCCGUGAUACAAGAAAACAGGCACAACCACCAUUAUCUGCCAAGAGCGCACCUGCGGGGCCUGCACAACGUUCUUCUUCUUCCAUGGCAUCAACAGGGCACACAAGUGAUAUUAUUUGUCGUCGUUGUAAGGGAGGAGGUCAUUAUGCGAGGGAAUGCAAAUCUCCGCGUGUGAUGAUUGCUACUGCGGAUGGUGGAUACGAGUCCGCUAGUGACUAUGAUGAGGAGACAUUGGCUCUUAUUACACGUGAAGAACAUGGUGGAGAUGAUUCUGAUCAUGAGACGCAAUACAUGGCUCCUAAAGACGCUGACAGGUAUGAAUGUUUAGUUGCUCAACGUGUUUUGAGUGUGCAGGUCACACAAGCUGAGCAAAAUCAGAGGCACAAUUUGUUCCAUACCAAGGGAGUUGUGAAGGAACGUUCUGUGCGCGUCAUAAUAGACGGAGGGAGCUGCAACAACUUGGCUAGCAUGGAGAUGGUGGAGAAGCUUUCUCUCACCACAAGACCACAUCCACAUCCUUACUACAUCCAAUGGUUCAACAACAGUGGCAAGGUUAAGGUAACACGUACUGUUCGUGUGCAUUUUAGUAUCUCUACAUAUGCUGAUUAUGUUGAUUGUGAUGUGGUACCUAUGCAAGCAUGUUCCUUAUUACUUGGUAGACCAUGGCAAUUUGAUAAAAAUUCUGUACACCAUGGUAGAAACAAUCACUAUACUCUUGUUCAUAAGGAUAAAAAUAUUACUUUGCUUCCUAUGACUCCUGAUUCCAUUUUGAAAGAUGAUAUUAAUAGAGCUAAUAAAGCACAACAGGAGAAGAAUAAGAGUGAAAAUCAGAUUGUGGCAAAAGAAUUUGAGCAACAAAUAAAGCCUAAUAAUAAACCAUCUAGUGUUGCUUCUGAAAUUAAAUUGAAAAGUGCAUGUUUAUUUGCCACCAAAUCUGAUAUUGAUGAGCUAGAUUUUAGCAAAUCUGUUUGCUAUGCUUUUGUGUGCAAAGAGACAUUAUUUUCAUUCGAGGACGUGCCUUCCUCUUUGCCUCCUGCUGUCACUAACAUUUUGCACGAGUUCGCUGACGUUUUUCCACAAGACGUGCCACCGGGAUUACCGCCUAUUCGAGGGAUUGAGCAUCAGAUUGACUUAAUUCCCGGUGCUUCACUGCCAAACCGUGCACCAUACCGUACCAAUCCAGAGGAGACGAAGGAGAUUAUGCGUCAAGUACAAGAGCUUCUCGACAAAGGUUAUAUACGUGAAUCCCUUAGUCCUUGUGCUGUUCCUAUUAUUCUAGUGCCGAAAAAGGAUGGUACAUCACGUAUGUGUGUUGAUUGUAGAGGCAUUAAUAAUAUUACUAUUCGUUAUCGUCAUCCUAUUCCUAGGCUAGAUGAUAUGCUUGAUGAAUUGAGUGGCUCUACAAUAUUCUCCAAAGUUGAUUUGCGUAGUGGCUACCAUCAAAUUCGUAUGAAAUUGGGAGAUGAAUGGAAAACAGCAUUUAAAACUAAGUUUGGUUUAUAUGAGUGGUUAGUCAUGCCUUUUGGGUUAACUAAUGCACCUAGUACUUUCAUGAGAUUAAUGAACGAAGUUUUACGUGCUUUCAUUGGACGAUUUGUGGUAGUUUACUUUGAUGACAUAUUGAUUUAUAGCAAAUCUUUGGAAGAACAUUUGGAACAUUUACGUGUUGUUUUUAUUGCUCUACGUGAUGCACGUUUGUUUGGUAACCUUCGGAAGUGCACCUUUUGCACCGACCGAGUAUCUUUUCUUGGCUAUGUUGUUGCUCCACAGGGAAUUGAAGUUGAUAAAGCCAAGAUUGAAGCUAUUGAGAGUUGGCCGCAGCCCAAAACGGUCACACAAGUGAGGAGUUUUCUUGGCCUCGCUGGAUUCUAUAGGCGUUUUGUGAGAGAUUUCAGCACCAUUGCUGCACCUCUCAAUGAGCUUACAAAGAAAGAUGUGCCUUUUCUUUGGGGUACCGCACAGGAAGAAGCCUUCACGGUAUUGAAAGAUAAGUUGACACAUGCUCCUUUACUCCAACUUCCUGAUUUUAAUAAGACUUUUGAGCUUGAAUGUGAUGCUAGUGGAAUUGGAUUAGGAGGUGUGUUAUUAGAAGAUGGCAAACCUGUUGCAACUUUUCUGAAAAAUUGAGUGGGCCUAGUCUGAAUUAUUCUACUUAUGAUAAAGAAUUAUAUGCUCUUGUUCGGACUUUAGAAACAUGGCAACAUUAUUUAUGGCCCAAAGAAUUUGUUAUACAUUCUGAUCAUGAAUCUUUGAAACAUAUUAAAAGUCAAGCUAAACUGAAUCGUAGACAUGCUAAAUGGGUUGAAUUCAUUGAGACUUUCCCUUAUGUCAUUAAACACAAGAAGGGAAAAGAAAAUGUUAUUGCUGAUGCAUUGUCUCGUCGCUAUACUAUGCUUUCACAACUUGACUUCAAAAUAUUUGGUUUGGAGACCAUCAAAGAUCAAUAUGUGCAUGAUGCUGAUUUUAAAGAUGUAAUGCAGAAUUGUAAAGAAGGAAGAAUGUGGAACAAGUUUGUCGUUAACGAUGGAUUUGUGUUUCGUGCUAACAAGCUAUGCAUUCCAGCUAGCUCCGUUCGUCUUUUGUUGUUGCAGGAAGCGCAUGGAGGAGGAUUAAUGGGACACUUUGGCGUGAAGAAGACGGAGGACGUACUUGCUACACAUUUCUUUUGGCCAAAGAUGAGACGGGAUGUUGAGCGUUUUAUUGCUCGCUGCACUACAUGUCAAAAAGCUAAGUCACGACUCAAUCCUUAUGGUUUAUAUAUGCCUUUGCCUGUACCUAGUGUUCCUUGGGAGGAUAUAUCUAUGGACUUUGUUUUAGGUUUACCUCGAACAAAGAAGGGGAGGGAUAGCAUAUUUGUUGUCGUGGAUAGAUUCUCGAAAAUGGCACACUUUAUACCAUGUCAUAAAAGUGAUGAUGCUGUUAAUGUUGCUGAUUUGUUCUUUCGUGAAAUUAUUCGCUUGCAUGGUGUGCCAAAUACUAUUGUUUCAAAUCGUGAUACUAAAUUUCUUAGCCACUUUUGGAGAUGUUUAUGGGCUAAGUUGGGGACUAAACUGCUUUUAGUACUACUUGUCACCCCCAAACUGAUGGCCAAACUGAAGUAGUCAAUAGAACAUUGUCUACUAUGCUUAGGGCUGUUUUGAAGAGUAAUAAGAAAAUGUGGGAGGAAUGCUUGCCUCAUAUUGAAUUUGCUUAUAAUCGUUCAUUGCAUUCUACUACUAAGAUGUGCCCUUUUGAAGUUGUGUAUGGUUUCCUACCUCGUGCACCUAUUGAUUUGUUGCCUCUUCCAUCUUCGGAGAAGGUUAAUUUUGAUGCUAAACAACGUGCUGAAUUGAUUUUAAAAAUGCAUGAGUUAACUAAGGAAAACAUUGAGCGUAUGAAUGCCAAAUAUAAACUUGCUGGAGAUAAGGGUAGAAAACAUGUUGUGUUUGUACCUGGAGAUCUUGUUUGGUUACAUUUGCGUAAGGAUAGAUUUCCUGAUUUGCGCAAAUCAAAGCUCAUGCCACGGGCUGAUGGUCCCUUUAAGGUGUUAGAGAAAAUAAAUGAUAAUGCAUAUGAACUUGAGCUGCCUGCAGAUUUUGGGGUUAGUCCCACUUUUAACAUUGCAGAUUUGAAGCCUUAUUUGGGUGAGGAAGAUGAGUUUCCGUCGAAGACGACUUCAUUUCAAGAAGGGGAGGAUGAUGAGGACAUCAAUACCAUUGUUACACCCACAGGCCCUGCUGCUAUACAUACUGGACCAAUUACUAGAGCUCGCGCACGCCAACUAAAUUACCAGGUACUUUCGUUUCUUGGUAAUGAUUCUAAUGUUCAUGAGAAUAUGAUGCUGCCUAAAUUGGAUACAUUUGUUUUGCUUACGAAUGAAGGGCCUAGCUUGGAGAAGGAUGAACAUUGGAGCAAGAACAAGCAUGGAGAUGAUGGCAUGCGCAAGGGGAACAAGAACGGAGUUACAAGUGAUGAUUUCAGGACUUUGAAGCCACCAUAAUGGAUGCUUGAAGCCUUGGACAAAAUAUACAAGAUGCCACUUCAUAAAUUUCGUCCCGAGGCUAUUUUAGGUGCUGCGUCACCUUAUUAUUGGGCCAGGCCCAUGUAAUUUCGAAAUACAUAAGUAUAGGCUAUUUUUAGAGUCCGUAUGUGUGGGGAAACAAGAGAUAGGGUUGAUUUCGGACCCCUCCACCAAGGGCCACGAAAUUCCCCCCUUUUUCCUCCAUAUAUACAGCCCUUAGGGCAUCGUUUAGACUUUGGGUUUUGUUUAGAUUAAAAGUUCGCCAUAGCUGCAACUUCGCGUACUUCGUUUGUGUUCAACGACCAGACAAAGGCGUCACAGAACCCCACCUUGAUCAAUAAAGCUUUCAUCUUAUAUUCGCAAUAUCCAGAUUGUAAUCUUAGUUUCUUGCUUGUUCUUCGUUUGCUCACAGGAAACAGACCCUCGUGGUCAGGUUGAUCGUGCUCCGGCGUGGUCAAUAACCUCUCGGAGUUGGUUUAGCGAUUGCUAAGGCGCGACGUCCUCGCACGUUUUUAGUCGGAUCGUCAAAGUCGACUUCCACCAAAGCGAUAUCCAUCAUCUCAUCGAAAGACGGGACACCUUUGCCUCUAUCACGGUCUUGGUCUGGUCGUUGGACACAAACGAAGUACACGAAGUUGCGUUGGCUAACUUUUAACUAAACAAAUCCCAAGGAAAAGCUACUAGAUGGAUCUACUUAUAUAGGAGCAAGGGGUGGUGGCCAAGGAGGUGGGAGGACGUCCCAAGGCAGCCUAAAACUAAAUCUAGGUCGUACAAGGCCAAUGGUCCCAAGUGGAGGUGAUGUAACACCUUUGGACUUGUAGUUUGACUCGGAUUCUGCUGCAGCAUCAGAUUGUUUCGUCCACAACUCAACGCUGCGGACGAAUUUGAAGGUGAUUCUAAUUGGGUUGGAAAGUGUACGAAAUCUAGUUUCCAACAAAAAAAGAAUCACCCAAUUCGGAGUCCGUAUGAAAAACUUGUGUGCGUUUUGAGUCAGGUAUGUCUGUGCAGUCCGAAUCUGAAUCUAGAACGUGAGAGACUUGGACUCUAUCUUCUCUGAUGAGGACAUCAAUACAAUUGUUACACCCACAGCCCCUGCUGCUAUACAUACUGGACCAAUUACUAGAGCUCGUGCACGCCAACUAAAUUACCAGGUACUUUCAUUUCUUGGUAAUGAUUCUAAUGUUCAUGAGAAUAUGAUGCUGCCUAAAUUGGAUACAUUUGUUUUGCUUACAAAUGAAGGGCCUAGCUUGGAGAAGGAUGAACAUUGGAGCAAGAACAAGCAUGGAGAUGAUGGCAUGCGCAAGGGAAACAAGAACGGAGUUACAAGUGAUGAUUUCAGGACUUUGAAGCCACCAUAAUGGGUGCAUGAAGCUUUGGACGAAAUAUACAAGAUGCCACUUCAUAAAUUUCGUCCCGAGGCUAUUGUAGGUGCUGCGUCACCUUAUUAUUGGGCCAGGCCCAUGUAAUUUCGAAAUACAUAAGUAUAGGCUAUUUUUAGAGUCCGUAUGUGUGGGGAAACAAGAGAUAGGGUUGAUUUCGGACCCCUCCACCAAGGGCCACGAAAUUCCCCCCCUCUUCCUCCAUAUAUACAGCCCUUAGGGCAUCGUUUAGACUUUGAGUUUUGUUUAGAUUAAAAGUUCGCCAUAGCUGCAACUUCGCGUACUUCGUUUGUGUUCAACGACCAGACAAAGGCGUCACAGAACCCCACCUUGAUCAAUAAAGAUUUCAUCUUAUAUUCGCAAUAUCCAGAUUGCAAUCUCAGUUUCUUGCUUGUUCUUCGUUUGCUCGCAGGAAACAGACCCUCGUGGUCAGGUUGAUCGUGCUCCGGCGUGGUCAAUAACCUCUCGGAGUUGGUUUAGCGAUUGCUAAGGCGCGACGUCCUCGCACGUUCGUAGUCGGAUCGUCAAAGUCGACUUCCACCAAAGCGAUAUCCAUCAUCUCAUCGAAAGACGGGACACCUUUGCCUCUAUCAAGUGGUAUCAGAGUUCCAGGUUGCUCGGUGAGAUUUUACAGUUUUUCGUAGUUUAGAUCGAGUCUGUUCUUCAUACCUACAGUCCACGAAAAAGCCACAAAAAAAUUAGGGUUAGUUCAUCAUAUCCGAACCAAUCUGAGCCUUUGCAUAAUCUUUUUAGGGUUUUGCUUUGUUGAAUUUGCGGUUGCAUCGUCGUGUCUAGUUGCUGGUCUUAGAGUCUAGUCUUUUAGAGUUUCGAGUUCUGGUCAUAAGUUGUCACGCCGCCGCCGCACCAUCAUCAUAACCCGUGCCAUCUACCACCACCGCUUAUCCGCCACCGCUUCGAAUCCGUAUCCAUAUACCACCACAGCUGUCAUAUACCACCACCGCUGCCAUCUACCACCAUAUAUCCACCACCAAUCCGAGUUCUUGUCAUAUUAGGUUUGUUUUCGAGAUCCAUCUAGAUUCCGAUUCGUGUUUCCUUCCCGGAGUAGGUUUCGGAAAAAAAAAGAGUCGGGUAGCCACGCUCCGUUUAGGCCCAAAAUUUUUCGAAAACGCAUUUUUCGAAAAAAUUUCUGGCUAUCCUAUUUUUAGGUGUUUCUGAGUGUUUUGAGACAGGUGCCAUUAUAGGAAGUUUUUUUGAUCCGUUUCUAGUUUUUGGGUCCGGGCAGUCAAAAAAAAAUUGGUCAAAAAAAAUUCCGUGCCCAUCCUGUCAGUUUGAGCUAAGAAGAGUUUUGAGACACUCGCCAUUAUAGUGAUUUUUCGCAAAAAAAAAAGCAGCGCAAAAUAAAAAAAGAGCGCAAAAAAAAAGAGCGAAAACAUUCCAGAGUGUGCUUUUCCCUUGUUUACGUGCCGCGCCGUGAUUUUGUUAGUGUUCUAGGCUCGCGUCUCUAGCACAGUCUAGCCUAGGACCAGCACAGUACCGUCGUUGAGCGUUUAUUCAACUUUGCAUCUCUGAAUUGAUUAUUGCUGACCCUUUUUGCUACCAUAUUAUAAGCCUUCCCAGCUCCACAUACAUCUACGUCGUGCGUUUGACUCUCCCUGGUAAUCGCUCUAUCCAAGCUUUGAGAGUUUUUGACUACAACGGUUGCCGAUCACCGCCUGCUGCUGGGUAAGAACUGGUAAGAAUUUGAGAUUUGCUUGACGGAUUUGUGACACCCACCACCACCACUUGUUCGUAGUCUGUAGGAUCAUAUUCUUGUGUGUUUCUAUUGCUGCUAACCAUGCCAGGAUCACAAGCCGACGAGAUUGACUGGGAGAAUUUAUCGAACAAGGAGCUUCAUGAUAAGUUUCAGCAAAUGAUGACUGAACAGGUGCAAGAUGUACUGAACAAUUUUGAAGAGGCCAUGGAGAAGAUCACUGGCUUUGAGAAGACGUUCGAAACAAAGCUCGAUAACAAGUUUAAUGAAUUGCUCGCGCGUCUUCCACCACCACCACCCGCUGCAGCUAACGCACCUCUCCAACAACAACAACAACAACAACAACGACUACCUCCACGUCGCGAAGCAGACCUCCGCCGAGCAAGCCGUGUUCCUCUUGCGUUUGGCCAAACUGUUGGUGCUGCUGUUGAUACUUCUGUGGCUCCUGCUGCUGAUGCGGAGGAGGAUGAUUAUGUGGGAGACUAUGAGGAUGAGGUUGAUCAAAAUCAACACUACGUGCAGCCACCUGUACCACCACCAGCAGGUCGACCUCAGGUAUAUAUUCGUAAUGGUAGGCCUGCACCACCACCUCAGGUACGAGAUGAUGUCCAUAUUCCUAAACUGAAAUUGAAUAUUCCACCAUUUGAGGGUAGAUAUGUUCCUGAUAUAUAUCUUACUUGGGAGUUAGAAACUGAACAACGAUUUACAUGUUUACAAUAUCCUGAGGAGAGACGAGUUGCUGCUGCCGUUUGUGCUUUCACUAGUUUUGCAUGUGUAUGGUGGUCUGAACAUUGUAGAUUAUAUCCUAUUCCAACUACUUGGGCUGCUUUCAAAACUGCUAUGCGUACGCGUUGGGUUCCACCAUAUUAUCAACGUGAAUUGCUUCAAAAAUUGCAGCGUUUAAGACAAGGGAAAAAUUCUGUAGAAGAAUAUUAUCAGGAAUUACAAACUGGCAUGAUUAGAUGUGGUAUUGUUGAGGAGAAUGAAGCUAUGCUUGCACGUUUUCUGGGUGGAUUAAAUAGAGAGAUUCAGACCAUUCUAGACUAUAAGGAGUAUACUAAUAUCACUCGUUUAUUCCAUCUUGCUUGUAAAGCUGAACGUGAAGUGCAGGAUCGACAAGCAUUGGGGCGAACUAACUUUUCUGCAGGCCGACCUUCAUCAUGGACACCACGUGCAUCUUCUACUUCAACAGCACCAGCACCUCCAUCCGGUGCCACCUCCAGCCGUGAUACCAGAAAACAGGCACAACCACCAUUAUCUGCCAAGAGCGCACCUGCGGGGCCUGCACAGCGUUCUUCUUCUUCCAUGGCAUCAACAGGGCACACAAGUGAUAUUAUUUGUCGUCGUUGUAAGGGAGGAGGUCAUUAUGCGAGAGAAUGCAAAUCUCCGCGUGUGAUGAUUGCUACCGCGGAUGGUGGAUAUGAGUCCGCUAGUGACUAUGAUGAGGAGACUUUGGCUCUUAUUACACGUGAAGAACAUGGUGGAGAUGAUUCUGAUCAUGAGACGCAAUACAUGGCUCCUGAAGACGCUGACAUGUAUGAAUGUUUAGUUGCUCAACGUGUUUUGAGUGUGCAGGUCACACAAGCUGAGCAAAAUCAGAGGCACAAUUUGUUCCAUACCAAGGGAGUUGUGAAGGAACGUUCUGUGCGCGUCAUAAUAGACGGAGGGAGCUGCAACAACUUGGCUAGCAUGGAUAUGGUGGAGAAGCUUUCCCUCACCACAAGACCACAUCCACAUCCUUACUACAUCCAAUGGUUCAACAACAGCGGCAAGGUUAAGGUAACACGUAUUGUUCGUGUGCAUUUUAGUAUCUCUACAUAUGCUGAUUAUGUUGAUUGUGAUGUGGUACCUAUGCAAGCAUGUUCCUUAUUACUUGGUAGACCAUGGCAAUUUGAUAAAAAUUCUGUACACCAUGGUAGAAACAAUCACUAUACUCUUGUUCAUAAGGAUAAAAAUAUUACUUUGCUUCCUAUGACUCCUGAUUCCAUUUUGAAAGAUGAUAUUAAUAGAGCUAAUAAAGCAAAACAGGAGACGAAUAAGAGUGAAAAUCAGAUUGUGGCAAAAGAAUUUGAGCAACAAAUGAAGCCUAAUAAUAAACCAUCUAGUGUUGCUUCUGAAAUUAAAUUGAAAAGUGCAUGUUUAUUUGCCACCAAAUCUGAUAUUGAUGAGCUAGAUUUCAGCAAAUCUGUUUGCUAUGCUUUUGUGUUCAAAGAGGCAUUAUUUUCAUUCGAGGACGUGCCUUCCUCUUUGCCUCCUGCUGUCACUAACAUUUUGCAGGAGUUCGCUGACGUCUUUCCACAAGACGUGCCACCGGGAUUACCGCCUAUUCGAGGGAUUGAGCAUCAGAUUGACUUAAUUCCCGGUGCUUCACUGCCAAACCGUGCACCAUACCGUACCAAUCCAGAGGAGACGAAGGAGAUUAUGCGUCAAGUACAAGAGCUUCUCGACAAAGGUUAUAUACGCGAAUCCCUUAGUCCUUGUGCUGUUCCUAUUAUUCUAGUGCCCAAAAAGGAUGGUACAUCACGUAUGUGUGUUGAUUGUAGAGGCAUUAAUAAUAUUACUAUUCGUUAUCGUCAUCCUAUUCCUAGGCUAGAUGAUAUGCUUGAUGAAUUGAGUGGCUCUACAAUAUUCUCCAAAGUUGAUUUGCAUAGUGGAUACCAUCAAAUUCGUAUGAAAAUGAGAGAUGAAUGGAAAACAGCAUUCAAAACUAAGUUUGGAUUAUAUGAGUGGUUAGUCAUGCCUUUUGGGUUACCUAAUGCACCUAGUACUUUCAUGAGAUUAAUGAACGAAGUUUUACGUGCUUUCAUUGGACGAUUUGUGGUAGUUUACUUUGAUGACAUAUUGAUUUAUAGCAGAUAUUUGGAAGAACAUUUGGAACAUUUACGUGUUGUUUUUAUUGCUCUACGUGAUGCAUGUUUGUUUGGUAACCUUGGGAAGUGCACCUUUUGCACCGAUCGAGUAUCUCUUCUUGGCUAUGUUGUUACUCCACAGGGAAUUGAAGUUGAUAAAGCCAAGAUUGAAGCUAUUGAGAGUUGGCCGCAGCCCAAAACGGUCACACAAGUGAGGAGUUUCCUUGGCCUCGCUGGUUUCUAUAGGCGUUUUGUGAGAGAUUUCAGCACCAUUGCUGCACUUCUCAACGAGCUUACAAAGAAGGAUGUGCCUUUUGUUUGGGGUACCGCACAGGAAGAAGCCUUCACGGUAUUGAAAGAUAAGUUGACACAUGCUCCUUUACUCCAACUUCCUAAUUUCAAUAAGACUUUUGAGCUUGAAUGUGAUGCUAGUGGAAUUGGAUUAGGAGGUGUGUUAUUACAAGAUGGAAAACCUGUUGCAUACUUUUCUGAAAAAUUGAGUGGGCCUAGUCUGAACUAUUCUACUUAUGAUAAAGAAUUAUAUGCUCUUGUUCGGACCUUAGAAACAUGGCAACAUUAUUUAUGGCCCAAGGAAUUUGUUAUACAUUUUGAUCAUGAAUCUUUGAAACACAUUAAAAGUCAAGCAAAACUGAACCGUAGACAUGCUAAAUGGGUUGAAUUCAUUAAGACUUUCCCUUAUGUCAUUAAACACAAGAAGGGUAAAGAAAAUGUUAUUGCUGAUGCCUUGUCUCGUCGUUAUACUAUGCUUUCACAACUUGACUUUAAAAUAUUUGGAUUGGAGACCAUCAAAGAUCAAUAUGUGCAUGAUGCUGAUUUUAAAGAUGUAAUGCAGAAUUGUAAAGAAGGAAGAAUGUGGAACAAGUUCGUCGUUAACGAUGGAUUUGUGUUUCAUGCUAACAAGCUAUGCAUUCCAGCUAGCUCCGUUCUCUUUUGUUGUUGCAGGAGGCGCAUGGAGGAGGAUUAAUGGGACACUUUGGCGUGAAGAAGAUGGAGGACGUACUUGCUACACAUUUCUUUUGGCCAAAGAUGAGACGGGAUGUUGAGCGUUUUAUUGCUCGAUGCACUACAUGUCAAAAAGCUAAGUCACGACUCAAUCCUCAUGGUUUAUAUAUGCCUUUGCCUGUACCUAGUGUUCCUUGGGAGGAUAUAUCUAUGGACUUUGUUUUAGGUUUACCUCGAACAAAGAAGGGGAGGGAUAGCAUAUUUGUUGUCGUGGAUAGAUUCUCGAAAAUGGCACAANNNNNNNNNNNNNNNNNNNNNNNNNNNNNNNNNNNNNNNNNNNNNNNNNNNNNNNNNNNNNNNNNNNNNNNNNNNNNNNNNNNNNNNNNNNNNNNNNNNNNNNNNNNNNNNNNNNNNNNNNNNNNNNNNNNNNNNNNNNNNNNNNNNNNNNNNNNNNNNNNNNNNNNNNNNNNNNNNNNNNNNNNNNNNNNNNNNNNNNNNNNNNNNNNNNNNNNNNNNNNNNNNNNNNNNNNNNNNNNNNNNNNNNNNNNNNNNNNNNNNNNNNNNNNNNNNNNNNNNNNNNNNNNNNNNNNNNNNNNNNNNNNNNNNNNNNNNNNNNNNNNNNNNNNNNNNNNNNNNNNNNNNNNNNNNNNNNNNNNNNNNNNNNNNNNNNNNNNNNNNNNNNNNNNNNNNNNNNNNNNNNNNNNNNNNNNNNNNNNNNNNNNNNNNNNNNNNNNNNNNNNNNNNNNNNNNNNNNNNNNNNNNNNNNNNNNNNNNNNNNNNNNNNNNNNNNNNNNNNNNNNNNNNNNNNNNNNNNNNNNNNNNNNNNNNNNNNNNNNNNNNNNNNNNNNNNNNNNNNNNNNNNNNNNNNNNNNNNNNNNNNNNNNNNNNNNNNNNNNNNNNNNNNNNNNNNNNNNNNNNNNNNNNNNNNNNNNNNNNNNNNNNNNNNNNNNNNNNNNNNNNNNNNNNNNNNNNNNNNNNNNNNNNNNNNNNNNNNNNNNNNNNNNNNNNNNNNNNNNNNNNNNNNNNNNNNNNNNNNNNNNNNNNNNNNNNNNNNNNNNNNNNNNNNNNNNNNNNNNNNNNNNNNNNNNNNNNNNNNNNNNNNNNNNNNNNNNNNNNNNNNNNNNNNNNNNNNNNNNNNNNNNNNNNNNNNNNNNNNNNNNNNNNNNNNNNNNNNNNNNNNNNNNNNNNNNNNNNNNNNNNNNNNNNNNNNNNNNNNNNNNNNNNNNNNNNNNNNNNNNNNNNNNNNNNNNNNNNNNNNNNNNNNNNNNNNNNNNNNNNNNNNNNNNNNNNNNNNNNNNNNNNNNNNNNNNNNNNNNNNNNNNNNNNNNNNNNNNNNNNNNNNNNNNNNNNNNNNNNNNNNNNNNNNNNNNNNNNNNNNNNNNNNNNNNNNNNNNNNNNNNNNNNNNNNNNNNNNNNNNNNNNNNNNNNNNNNNNNNNNNNNNNNNNNNNNNNNNNNNNNNNNNNNNNNNNNNNNNNNNNNNNNNNNNNNNNNNNNNNNNNNNNNNNNNNNNNNNNNNNNNNNNNNNNNNNNNNNNNNNNNNNNNNNNNNNNNNNNNNNNNNNNNNNNNNNNNNNNNNNNNNNNNNNNNNNNNNNNNNNNNNNNNNNNNNNNNNNNNNNNNNNNNNNNNNNNNNNNNNNNNNNNNNNNNNNNNNNNNNNNNNNNNNGUUAAGGUAACACGUACUGUUCGUGUGCAUUUUAGUAUCUCUACAUAUGCUGAUUAUGUUGAUUGUGAUGUGGUACCUAUGCAAGCAUGUUCCUUAUUACUUGGUAGACCAUGGCAAUUUGAUAAAAAUUCUGUACACCAUGGUAGAAACAAUCACUAUACUCUUGUUCAUAAGGAUAAAAAUAUUACUUUGCUUCCUAUGACUCCUGAUUCCAUUUUGAAAGAUGAUAUUAAUAGAGCUAAUAAAGCACAACAGGAGAAGAAUAAGAGUGAAAAUCAGAUUGUGGCAAAAGAAUUUGAGCAACAAAUGAAGCCUAAUAAUAAACCAUCUAGUGUUGCUUCUGAAAUUAAAUUGAAAAGUGCAUGUUUAUUUGCCACCAAAUCUGAUAUUGAUGAGCUAGAUUUCAGCAAAUCUGUUUGCUAUGCUUUUGUGUGCAAAGAGGCUGAUAGAGGCGGGGUGUCCCGAUCUUUCGAUGAGAUGAUAACUAUCGAUUUGGUGGAGACGACUUUGACGAUCCGACUACAAACGUGCACGACGUUGCGCCUUAGCAAUCGCUAAUCCAACUCCGAGAGGUUAUUGACCACGCCGGAGCACAAUCAACCUGACCACGAAGGUCUAUUCCUACAAGCAAUCGAAGAACAAGCAAGAAUAUGAUAAAAGCAAUCUGAAUAUUGCGAGUAUAUAUGAAGUAUUGAUAAAGGUGGGGAUCCGUAAGCGGUCUUGGUCUGGUCGUUGGACACAAACGAAGUACACGAAGUUGCAAUGGCUAACUUUUAACUAAACAAAUCCCAAGGAAAAGCUACUAGAUGGAUCUACUUAUAUAGGAGCAAGGGGUGGCGGCCAAGGAGGUGGGAGGACGUCCCAAGGCAGCCUAAAACUAAAUCUAGGUCGUACAAGGCCAAUGGGCCCAAGUGGAGGUGAUGUAACACCUUUGGACUUGUAGUUUGACUCGGAUUCUGCUGCAGCAUCAGAUUGUUUCGUCCACAACUCAACGCUUCGGACGAAUUUGAAGGUGAUUCCAAUUGGGUUGGAAAGUGCACUAAAUCUAGUUUCCAACAAAAAAAGAAUCACCCAAUUCGGAGUCCGUAUGAAAAACUUGUGUGCGUUUUGAGUCAGGUGUGUCUGUGCAGUCCGAAUCUGAAUCCAGAACGUGAGAGACUUGGACUCUAUCUUCUCUUGGGCCAAAAGUGACGUGAGAGAACUUUUUGGACAUCAAAUAAACAUCUCUUUCUUCCUUAUCUUCAUAUGUGGAUUGUACAAAUGUCCCAUACACCUGCAAUUAGACAAAACACAAAAGUGUGUGAAGUAUUUUUGUUCUGGAUAACAUAAAUAGAUUAUUGAAUAGUUUGCACUAGAAAUCACCUUACAAAUAUGUAUAUAUGCAAUAUUUUUGGUCAUAUCCAAGGUAGUCAUGUCCUUAUCAUCCUCCCCUUCUUGAAAAUAAAGCCGUCCUCGGCGUUGCUUAAUCUGAAAUGUGGCUAACAAAAGAGACAAGGUGUACAUGUUGUAUAUGUAUAUGUCAUCCAUUUUUACUUCCCUUGAUUUUUGCAUAUAUGACACAUGAAUAGAUGAGUAACUUGCAUAGUUCAUAAAAUCUAAAGCCAAAAAAUUAGCACAAGAAGUAGAAGGCAUGAAUUUAUUGCAACUCAGUUUGCACAUAUAAGUGAAGCUCUUAUUCAUUUCAAAAGAUUGACAAUGUUCAUCAUUAAACCAUCCCAACAUUGAUGAAUAAACCUUACUUGCAUCAAAUUUACAUGCGACAACAUGCUUAAAUAAGCAAACAUGCAAUAAGGCAUUCAACACAGAAUCAUCACCAAGAUUAGAGGUCAUAUCAAAAUGAUUAAACAUUGCUUCUUUUGCAUCAAUAGUUAAUUCAAUGGGUGCACUCAAAAUUGUUGGUAUUUCAGUUGUUUGAUCACAUGGCAAAGUCAAAUUAUCAACAUAGUCCUCGAAAAUAGGUGGUGUGAUCAAAGUAGUGGGUAGCUCAUCAGAUGGUGCAUUCAAAUUGACAAGGCAUUCAUCAUUCUCAUGUAGAGAUGGAAGAUCAGUACCUUUGUCAUUACCUCUUAUGAUCAACUCAGAUGAUGUAGCCACUCUCGGGGGCGAUGUGUCACAUGGUGGAGGUGAUGUAGUCCUGACAACAACGGAUGUGGUUGUCAUAGUAUGCCUAGUAGUUGAAGGAACAAUCAUAUCAACUCUUGGAAUGUGCACCGUGCGCUUGUUUUCCUCGUGGCCAACACGUCGUUUUAUUUCCUGUUCAGCUUUGCAAGCAAGAUGAAACAAAUGGUCCAUAGGAUAACACUCUUCAUGAAUUAGUAUCUCUUGAAUAUCACGGUUUAAUCCUCCCCAAAAUCUAUCCAUAAAAUCAUCUUCACUUUCUUCUAAAGAGGAAUGCAACAAGGUAGUUUGUAAAUCAUCAUAAUAUUUUGUUACAGUGUCACUACCUUGUUUUAAGUGUUGCAACUUCUUAAUCAUGUCACGAGUAUAAUAAGCAGGGACGAAAGUAUGUCGCAUGGCAAGUUUCAAAUCAUCCCAAGUAGUAGGUAUAUAAUCAGGGUGUAACCGACAAUAUUCACUCCACCAAACCAAAGCAUAACCAGUGAAAGAACCAACCGCAACCUUAACCUUUUUAUGUUCAUCGAAAUUAUGGGAAGCAAAUAUAUUUUUUAUGUCGAACUCCCAUUCAAUAUAUAAAGCAGGUUUAAAACGGUCAUUAAAUGGUGGUAUAGAUACAUUAACCUGAUCAUGUGCAUUUGGAUGUUUGUGCACCUCUCGUGACGGUUGUGGUAUUUGCAAAGGUGGUGGCACGUCUCCCGCGAUCGACAAAGCCCAUGAAUUGACUCUGGAUCCUGUCAUGAUUAGUAGAACAAGAAACAAAACCCAAAAUAAUGUUCCUAUAACUACUAGGAUGUGGUGGUAAAACGCUCACAGUAAAGCAAAUAUCAAUGUCUUACAAGUUCUUACCAUGCAGCAGGCGGUGAUCGGCAACCAGCGGUGUCAAGUAACUCUGAAUAUUGAGUAAAGCGAUUGCCAAGGGAGCGUACGUAUACACGGUGUAGAAAUAUGUGGAGCUGGGUUGGCUAUAUAUGGUAGCAAAAGAUUAGCAAUAAUCAAUUCAAAGAUGCAAUGUUGAAUAAACGCUCAACGACGGUACUGUGCUGGUUCUAGGCUAGACCGAACUAGAGACGCGAGCCUAGAACACUAAUGAGGUCACGUAGUAGCACAACUAGCAUCAAUUAAGGAUACUAAGUAGCUCUGGACAGCAAGAUAUAAGUGAAGAUCACAACGGCAGUAAAGAUAAUGAUGUGAAACAACAGCCAAGCAGGAUAUAUCAACAACUUUGUCUCCAACUUUCCUCCGAAAAAGUUUGUGCCGAUUUUUUUGAUUUUUUUUCUCUUUUUUUUCCUCACACUUUUUUUCUUUCUCUCCUUUUUUUUCUCUGACUUUUUUUUCUCCUUUUUUUCUCUCUCGUUUUUUUCUCUCUCUUUUUUCUCCCUCUUUCCAAAACAAACUAGAUAAGAUGCAGAUUGGAUCAAGUGAAGAUGUGAACGAUCUCAACUAUUAUUAUGACAUUGAAUGGUGGGUAGCACGUGGUGGAAAUUGAUGGAUGGGUGGUGGACAGCGGAAGAGAUAAUGAUGCAGCGGUGGCGUGACUAAUGUGAACAGAACUCGAAACUCUAAACGAACUAGACACUAAGACCAGCAACUCGACACGACGAUGCAACCGAUAAUUCAACUAUGCAAGCAAUGAAAAGAAAAUUGCAAAGGCUCAGACUGGCUUGGACCAAGGAUGAAUAGAUCUAACUCUUUUUUGUGGCUUUUUCUUGGACAAUAGGUAAGAAAAUAAAUCUAAUCUAGGAAAACUGGAAAUUCUCACCGAGCAACCUGAAAACUGAUACCACUUGAUAGAGGCAAUGGUGUCCCGAUCUUUCGAUGAGAUGAUAACUAUCGAUUUGGUGGAGACGACUUUGACGAUCCGACUACAAACGUGCACGAUGUUGCGCCUUAGCAAUCGCUAAUCCAACUCCGAGAGGUUAUUGACCACGCCGGAGCACAAUCAACCUGACCACGAAGGUCUAUUCCUACAAGCAAUUGAAGAACAAGCAAGAAUAUGAUAAAAGCAAUCUGAAUAUUGCGAGUAUAUAUGAAGUAUUGAUAAAGGUGGGGAUCCGUAAGCGGUCUUGGUCUGGUCGUUGGACACAAACGAAGUACACGAAGUUGCAAUGGCUAACUUUUAACUAAACAAAUCCCAAGGAAAAGCUACUAGAUGGAUCUACUUAUAUAGGAGCAAGGGGUGGCGGCCAAGGAGGUGGGAGGACGUUCCAAGGCAGCCUAAAACUAAAUCUAGGUCGUACAAGGCCAAUGGGCCCAAGUGGAGGUGAUGUAACACCUUUGGACUUGUAGUUUGACUCGGAUUCUGCUGCAGCAUCAGAUUGUUUCGUCCACAACUCAACGCUUCGGACGAAUUUGAAGGUGAUUCCAAUUGGGUUGGAAAGUGCACUAAAUCUAGUUUCCAACAAAAAAAGAAUCACCCAAUUCGGAGUCCGUAUGAAAAACUUGUGUGCGUUUUGAGUCAGGUGUGUCUGUGCAGUCCGAAUCUGAAUCCAGAACGUGAGAGACUUGGACUCUAUCUUCUCUUGGGCCAAAAGUGACGUGAGAGAACUUUUUGGACAUCAAAUAAACAUCUCUUUCUUCCUUAUCUUCAUAUGUGGAUUGUACAAAUGUCCCAUACACCUGCAAUUAGACAAAACACAAAAGUGUGUGAAGUAUUUUUGUUCUGGAUAACAUAAAUAGAUUAUUGAAUAGUUUGCACUAGAAAUCACCUUACAAAUAUGCAUAUAUGCAAUAUUUUUGGUCAUAUCCAAGGUAGUCAUGUCCUUAUCAGAGGCAUUAUUUUCAUUCGAGGACGUGCCUUCCUCUUUGCCUCCUGCUGUCACUAACAUUUUGCAGGAGUUCGCUGACGUUUUUCCACAAGACGUGCCACCGGGAUUACCGCCUAUUCGAGGGAUUGAGCAUCAGAUUGAUUUAAUUCCCGGUGCUUCACUGCCAAACCGUGCACCAUACCGUACCAAUCCAGAGGAGACGAAGGAGAUUAUGCGUCAAGUGCAAGAGCUUCUCGACAAAGGUUAUAUACGCGAAUCCCUUAGUCCUUGUGCUGUUCCUAUUAUUCUAGUGCCGAAAAAGGAUGGUACAUCACGUAUGUGUGUUGAUUGUAGAGGCAUUAAUAAUAUUACUAUUCGUUAUCGUCAUCCUAUUCCUAGGCUAGAUGAUAUGCUUGAUGAAUUGAGUGGCUCUACAAUAUUCUCCAAAGUUGAUUUGCGUAGUGGCUACCAUCAAAUUCGUAUGAAAUUGGGAGAUGAAUGGAAAACAACAUUUAAAACUAAGUUUGGAUUAUAUGAGUGGUUAGUCAUGCCUUUUGGGUUAACUAAUGCACCUAGUACUUUCAUGAGAUUAAUGAACGAAGUUUUACGUGCUUUCAUUGGACGAUUUGUGGUAGUUUAUUUUGAUGACAUAUUGAUUUAUAGCAGAUCUUUGGAAGAACAUUUGGAACAUUUACGUGCUGUUUUUAUUGCUCUACGUGAUGCACGUUUGUUUGGUAACCUUGGGAAGUGCACCUUUUGCACCGACCGAGUAUCUUUUCUUGGCUAUGUUGUUACUCCACAGGGAAUUGAAGUUGAUAAAGCCAAGAUUGAAGCUAUUGAGAGUUGGCCGCAGCCCAAAACGGUCACACAAGUGAGGAGUUUUCUUGGCCUCGCUGGAUUCUAUAGGCGUUUUGUGAGAGAUUUCAGCACCAUUGCUGCACCUCUCAAUGAGCUUACAAAGAAAGAUGUGCCUUUUCUUUGGGGUACCGCACAGGAAGAAGCCUUCUCGGUAUUAAAAGAUAAGUUGACACAUGCUCCUUUACUCCAACUUCCUGAUUUUAAUAAGACUUUUGAGCUUGAAUGUGAUGCUAGUGGAAUUGGAUUAGGCGGUGUGUUAUUACAAGAUGGCAAACCUGUUGAUAGAGGCGGAGGUGUCCCGUCUUUCGAUGAGAUGGUGGAUUUCGCUUUGGUGGAAGUCGACUUUGACGAUCCGACUACGAACGUGCGAGGACGUCGCGCCUUAGCAAUCGCUAAACCAACUCCGAGAGGUUAUUGACCACGCCGGAGCACGAUCAACCUGACCACGAGGGUCUGUUUCCUGCGAGCAAACGAAGAACAAGCAAGAAACUAAGAUUGCAAUCUGGAUAUUGCGAAUAUAAGAUGAAAGCUUUAUUGAUCAAGGUGGGGUUCUGUGACGCCUUUGUCUGGUCGUUGAACACAAACGAAGUACGCGAAGUUGCAGCUAUGGCGAACUUUUAAUCUAAACAAAACCCAACGUCUAAACGAUGCCCUAAGGGCUGUAUAUAUGGAGGAAGAGGGGGAGAAUUUCGUGGCCCUUGGUGGAGGGGUCCGAAAUCAACCCUAUCUCUUGUUUCCCCACACAUACGGACUCUAAAAAUAGCCUAUACUUAUGUAUUUCGAAAUUACAUGGGCCUGGCCCAAUAAUAAGGUGACGCAGCACCUAAAAUAGCCUCGGGACGAAAUUUAUGAAGUGGCGUCUUGUAUAUUUCGUCCAAGGCUUCAUGCACCCAUUAUGGUGGCUUCAAAGUCCUGAAAUCAUCACUUGUAACUCCGUUCUUGUUUCCCUUGCGCAUGCCAUCAUCUCCAUGCUUGUUCUUGCUCCAAUGUUCAUCCUUCUCCAAGCUAGGCCCUUCAUUUGUAAGCAAAACAAAUGUAUCCAAUUUAGGCAGCAUCAUAUUCUCAUGAACAUUAGAAUCAUUACCAAGAAACGAAAGUACCUGGUAAUUUAGUUGGCGUGCACGAGCUCUAGUAAUUGGUCCAGUAUGUAUAGCAGCAGGGGCUGUGGGUGUAACAAUUGUAUUGAUGUCCUCAUCAUCCUCCCCUUCUUGAAAUGAAGUCGUCCUCGACGGAAGUUCAUCUUCCUCACCCAAAUAAGGCUUCAAAUCUGCAAUGUUAAAAGUGGGACUAACCCCAAAAUCUGCAGGCAGCUCAAGUUUAUAUGCAUUACCAUUUAUUUUCUCUAACACCUUAAAGGGACCAUCAGCACGUGGCAUUAACUUUGAUUUGCGCAAAUCAGGAAAUCUAUCCUUACGCAAAUGUAACCAAACAAGAUCUCCAGGUGCAAACACAACAUGUUUUCUACCCUUAUCUCCAGCAAGUUUAUAUUUAGCAUUCAUGCGCUCAAUGUUUUCCUUAGUUAACUCAUGCAUUUUUAAAAUCAAUUCAGCACGUUGUUUAGCAUCAAAAUUAACCUUCUCCGAAGAUGGAAGAGGCAACAAAUCAAUAGGUGCACGAGGUAGGAAACCAUACACAACUUCAAAAGGGCACAUCUUAGUAGUAGAAUGCAAUUAACGAUUAUAAGCAAAUUCAAUAUGAGGCAAGCAUUCCUCCCACAUUUUCUUAUUAUUCUUCAAAACAGCCCUAAGCAUAGUAGACAACGUUCUAUUGACUACUUCAGUUUGUCCAUCAGUUUGGGGGUGACAAGUAGUACUAAAAAGCAGUUUAGUCCCCAACUUAGCCCAUAAACAUCUCCAAAAGUGGCUAAGAAAUUUAGUAUCACGAUCUGAAACAAUAGUAUUUGGCACACCAUGCAAGCGAAUAAUUUCACGAAAGAACAAAUCAGCAACAUUAACAGCAUCAUCGCUUUUAUGACAUGGUAUAAAGUGUGCCAUUUUCGAGAAUCUAUCCACGACAACAAAUAUGCUAUCCCUCCCUGAUGAGGACAUCAAUACAAUUGUUACACCCACAGCCCCUGCUGCUAUACAUACUGGACCAAUUACUAGAGCUCGUGCACGCCAACUAAACUACCAGGUACUUUCGUUUCUUGGUAAUGAUUCUAAUGUUCAUGAGAAUAUGAUGCUGCCUAAAUUGGAUACAUUUGUUUUGCUUACAAAUGAAGGGCCUAGCUUGGAGAAGGAUGAACAUUGGAGCAAGAACAAGAACGGAGUUACAAGUGAUGAUUUCAGGACUUUGAAGCCACCAUAAUGGGUGCAUGAAGCCUUGGACGAAAUAUACAAGAUGCCACUUCAUAAAUUUCGUUCCGAGGCUAUUUUAGGUGCUGCGUCACCUUAUUAUUGGGCCAGGCCCAUGUAAUUUCGAAAUACAUAAGUAUAGGCUAUUUUUAGAGUCCGUAUGUGUGGGGAAACAAGAGAUAGGGUUGAUUUCGGACCCCUCCACCAAGGGCCACGAAAUUCCCCCCCUCUUCCUCCAUAUAUACAGCCCUUAGGGCAUCGUUUAGACUUUGGGUUUUGUUUAGAUUGAAAGUUCGCCAUAGCUGCAACUUCGCGUACUUCGUUUGUGUUCAACGACCAGACAAAGGCGUCACAGAACCCCACCUUGAUCAAUAAAGCUUUCAUCUUAUAUUCGCAAUAUCCAGAUUGCAAUCUCAGUUUCUUGCUUGUUCUUCGUUUGCUCGCAGGAAACAGACCCUCGUGGUCAGGUUGAUCGUGCUCCGGCGUGGUCAAUAACCUCUCGGAGUUGGUUUAGCGAUUGCUAAGGCGCGACGUCCUCGCACGUUCGUAGUCGGAUCGUCAAAGUCGACUUCCACCAAAGCGAAAUCCACUAUCUCAUCGAAAGACGGGACACCUUUGCCUCUAUCAAGAAGCUUUCUCUCACCACAAGACCACAUCCACAUCCUUACUACAUCCAAUGGUUCAACAACAGCGGCAAGGUUAAGGUAACACGUACUGUUCGUGUGCAUUUUAGUAUCUCUACAUAUGCUGAUUAUGUUGAUUGUGAUGUGGUACCUAUGCAAGCAUGUUCCUUAUUACUUGGUAGACCAUGGCAAUUUGAUAAAAAUUCUGUACACCAUGGUAGAAACAAUCACUAUACUCUUGUUCAUAAGGAUAAAAAUAUUACUUUGCUUCCUAUGACUCCUGAUUCCAUUUUGAAAGAUGAUAUUAAUAGAGCUAAUAAAGCACAACAGGAGAAGAAUAGGAGUGAAAAUCAGAUUGUGGCAAAAGAAUUUGAGCAACAAAUGAAGCCUAAUAAUAAACCAUCUAGUGUUGCUUCUGAAAUUAAAUUGAAAAGUGCAUGUUUAUUUGCCACCAAAUCUGAUAUUGAUGAGCUAGAUUUCAGCAAAUCUGUUUGCUAUGCUUUUGUGUGCAAAGAGGCAUUAUUUUCAUUCGAGGACGUGCCUUCCUCUUUGCCUCCUGCUGUCACUAACAUUUUGCAGGAGUUCGCUGACGUUUUUCCACAAGACUUGCCACCGGGAUUACCGCCUAUUCGAGGGAUUGAGCAUCAGAUUGACUUAAUUCCCGGUGCUUCACUGCCAAACCGUGCACCAUACCGUACCAAUCCAGAGGAGACGAAGGAGAUUAUGCGUCAAGUACAAGAGCUUCUCGACAAAGGUUAUAUACGCGAAUCCCUUAGUCCUUGUGCUGUUCCUAUUAUUCUAGUGCCGAAAAAGGAUGGUACAUCACGUAUGUGUGUUGAUUGUAGAGGCAUUAAUAAUAUUACUAUUCGUUAUCGUCAUCCUAUUCCUAGGCUAGAUGAUAUGCUUGAUGAAUUGAGUGGCUCUACAAUAUUCUCCAAAGUUGAUUUGCGUAGUGGAUACCAUCAAAUUCGUAUGAAAUUGGGAGAUGAAUGGAAAACAGCAUUUAAAACUAAGUUUGGAUUAUAUGAGUGGUUAGUCAUGCCUUUUGGGUUAACUAAUGCGCCUAGUACUUUCAUGAGACUAAUGAACGAAGUUUUACGUGCUUUCAUUGGACGAUUUGUGGUAGUUUACUUUGAUGACAUAUUGAUUUAUAGCAGAUCUUUGGAAGAACAUUUGGAACAUUUACGUGCUGUUUUUAUUGCUCUACGUGAUGCACGUUUGUUUGGUAACCUUGGGAAGUGCACCUUUUGCACCGACCGAGUAUCUUUUCUUGGCUAUGUUGUUACUCCACAGGGAAUUGAAGUUGAUAAAGCCAAGAUUGAAGCUAUUGAGAGUUGGCCGCAGCCCAAAACGGUCACACAAGUGAGGAGUUUUCUUGGCCUCGCUGGAUUCUAUAGGCGUUUCGUGAGAGAUUUCAGCACCAUUGCUGCACCUCUCAAUGAGCUUACAAAGAAAGAUGUGCCUUUUCUUUGGGGUACCGCACAGGAAGAAGCCUUCACGGUAUUGAAAGAUAAGUUGACACAUGCUCCUUUACUCCAACUUCCUGAUUUUAAUAAGACUUUUGAGCUUGAAUGUGAUGCUAGUGGAAUUGGAUUAGGAGGUGUGUUAUUACAAGAUGGCAAACCUGUUGCAUACUUUUUUGAAAAAUUGAGUGGGCCUAGUCUGAAUUAUUCUACUUAUGAUAAAGAAUUAUAUGCUCUUGUUCGGACUUUAGAAACAUGGCAACAUUAUUUAUGGCCCAAAGAAUUUGUUAUACAUUCUGAUCAUGAAUCAUUGAAAUAUAUUAAAAGUCAAGCUAAACUGAAUCGUAGACAUGCUAAAUGGGUUGAAUUCAUUGAGACUUUCCCUUAUGUCAUUAAACACAAGAAGGGAAAAGAAAAUGUUAUUGCUGAUGCUUUGUCUCGUCGCUAUACUAUGCUUUCACAACUUGACUUCAAAAUAUUUGGUUUGGAGACCAUCAAAGAUCAAUAUGUGCAUGAUGCUGAUUUUAAAGAUGUAAUGCAUAAUUGUAAAGAAGGAAGAAUGUGGAACAAGUUUGUUGUUAACGAUGGAUUUGUGUUUCGUGCUAACAAGCUAUGCAUUCCAGCUAGCUCCGUUUGUCUUUUGUUGUUGCAGGAGGCGCAUGGAGGAGGACUAAUGGGACACUUUGGCGUGAAGAAGACGGAUGACGUACUUGCUACACAUUUCUUUUGGCCAAAGAUGAGACGGAAUGUUGAGCGUUUUAUUGCUCGCUGCACUACAUGUCAAAAAGCUAAGUCACGCCUCAAUCCUCAUGGUUUAUAUAUGCCUUUGCCUGUACCUAGUGUUCCUUGGGAGGAUAUAUCUAUGGACUUUGUUUUAGGUUUACCUCGAACAAAGAAGGGGAGGGAUAGCAUAUUUGUUGUCGUGGAUAGAUUCUCGAAAAUGGCACACUUUAUACCAUGUCAUAAAAGCGAUGAUGCUGUUAAUGUUGCUGAUUUGUUCUUUCGUGAAAUUAUUCGCUUGCAUGGUGUGCCAAAUACUAUUGUUUCAGAUCGUGAUACUAAAUUUCUUAGCCACUUUUGGAGAUGUUUAUGGGCUAAGUUGGGGACUAAACUGCUUUUUAGUACUACUUGUCACCCCCAAACUGAUGGACAAACUGAAGUAGUCAAUAGAACGUUGUCUACUUUGCUUAGGGCUGUUUUGAAGAAUAAUAAGAAAAUGUGGGAGGAAUGCUUGCCUCAUAUUGAAUUUGCUUAUAAUCGUUCAUUGCAUUCUACUACUAAGAUGUGCCCUUUUGAAGUUGUGUAUGGUUUCCUACCUCGUGCACCUAUUGAUUUGUUGCCUCUUCCAUCUUCGGAGAAGGUUAAUUUUGAUGCUAAACAACGUGCUGAAUUGAUUUUAAAAAUGCAUGAGUUAACUAAGGAAAACAUUGAGCGCAUGAAUGCUAAAUAUAAACUUGCUGGAGAUAAGGGUAGAAAACAUGUUGUAUUUGCACCUGGAGAUCUUGUUUGGUUACAUUUGCGUAAGGAUAGAUUUCCUGAUUUGCGCAAAUCAAAGUUAAUGCCACGUGCUGAUGGUCCCUUUAAGGUGUUAGAGAAAAUAAAUGAUAAUACAUAUAAACUUGAGCUGCCUGCAGAUUUUGGGGUUAGUCCCACUUUUAACAUUGCAGAUUUGAAGCCUUAUUUGGGUGAGGAAGAUGAACUUCCGUCGAGGACGAUUUCAUUUCAAGAAGGGGAGGAUGAUGAGGACAUCAAUACAAUUGUUACACCCACAGCCCCUGCUGCUAUACAUGCUGGACCAAUUACUAGAGCUCGUGCACGCCAACUAAAUUACCAGGUACUUUCGUUUCUUGGUAAUGAUUCUAAUGUUCAUGAGAAUAUGAUGCUGCCUAAAUUGGAUACAUUUGUUUUGCUUACGAAUGAAGGGCCUAGCUUGGAGAAGGAUGAACAUUGGAGCAAGAACAAGCAUGGAGAUGAUGGCAUGCGCAAGGGGAACAAGAACGGAGUUACAAGUGAUGAUUUCAGGACUUUGAAGCCACCAUAAUGGGUGCAUGAAGCCUUGGACGAAAUAUACAAGAUGCCACUUCAUAAAUUUCGUCCCGAGGCUAUUUUAGGUGCUGCGUCACCUUAUUAUUGGGCCAGGCCCAUGUAAUUUCGAAAUACAUAAGUAUAGGCUAUUUUUAGAGUCCGUAUGUGUGGGGAAACAAGAGAUAGGGUUGAUUUCGGACCCCUCCACCAAGGGCCACGAAAUUCCCCCCCUCUUCCUCCAUAUAUACAGCCCUUAGGGCAUCGUUUAGACUUAGGGUUUUGUUUAUAUUAAAAGUUCGCCAUAGCUGCAACUUCGCGUACUUCGUUUGUGUUCAACGACCAGACAAAGGCGUCACAGAACCCCACCUUGAUCAAUAAAGCUUUCAUCUUAUAUUCGCAAUAUCCAGAUUGCAAUCUCAGUUUCUUGCUUGUUCUUCGUUUGCUCGCAGGAAACAGACCCUCGUGGUCAGGUUGAUCGUGCUCCGGCGUGGUCAAUAACCUCUCGGAGUUGGUUUAGCGAUUGCUAAGGCGCGACGUCCUCGCACGUUCGUAGUCGGAUCGUCAAAGUCGACUUCCACCAAAGCGAUAUCCAUCAUCUCAUCGAAAGACGGGACACCUUUUCCUCUAUCAUUCUCUUGGGCCAAAAGUGACGUGAGAGAACUUUUUGGACAGCAAAUAAACAUCUCUUUCUUCCUUAUCUUCAUAUGUGGAUUGUACAAAUGUCCCAUACACCUGCAAUUAGACAAAACAGAAAAGUGUGUGAAGUAUUUUUGUUCUGGAUAACAUAAAUAGAUUAUUGAAUAGUUUGCACUAGAAAUCACCUGACAAAUAUGCAUAUAUGCAAUAUUUUUGGUCAUAUCCAAGGUAGUCAUGUCCUCAUCACAUGAUGUGACCAAUAGAAUUUUCACAUGAUAUCCUAUGGAGCAUAGCAUCACAACUAGGCAAAUCAACACGCUCAUCAUCAUAUUCAUCAUAGAUUGGUAAGUCAUGACAUGAAGAAUUUACACUAGCAUGAAGCAUCGGAAUAGCUGGAUCAACGUCAUGCAAGCAAUCAUUGGUGAGAUAGUCCACUAGUGGGACAAGAGAAGCACUAUCACCUUUGGAGCAUCACUCAUGUGUUGUAGGUGAGGUGUCGAAGACCGAGUCGUGGUCAUCUUCAUCUUGAUGGAACCAUGUGGGGGGUGCAUCUUCUUCCACCAUGGCCAUCGUCAUCUCCAUUGGAGGGAUGGACUCGUCGAGGAUAGGCGUGUCGUCAUGUAGGAAACCUAGCACCAAAGAAGAAAACACACUCGGAGUAGAGGUUAGGUCGUUAGAAAUCAUAGUGGCCUCACAAGGCAUGUCAACUACCUCACUAACUAAGUGUUGUGGCUCACUCACUCCCUCUCGGAUGCUCUCACUCAUAUGGUUGGUGGAGUCACUCAAAUGGCUGAUGAGGACAUCAAUACCAUUGUUACACCCACAACCCCUACUGCUACAUAUAUGGGACCAAUUACUAGAGCUCGCGCACGCCAAUUAAAUUAUCAUGUACUUUCGUUUCUUGGUAAUGAUUCUAAUGUUCAUGAGAAUAUGAUGCUGCCUAAAUUGGAUACAUUUGUUUUGCUUACAAAUGAAGGGCCUAGCUUGGAGAAGGAUGAACAUUGGAGCAAGAACAAGCAUGGAGAUGAUGCCAUGCGCAAGGGGAACAAGAACGGAGUUACAAGUGAUGAUUUUAGGACUUUGAAGCCACCAUAAUGGGUGCAUGAAGCCAUGGACGAAAUAUACAAGAUGCCACUUCAUAAAUUUCGUCCCGAGGCUAUUAUAGGUGCUGCGUCACCUUUUUAUUGGGCCAGGCCCAUGUAAUUUCGAAAUACAUAAGUAUAGGCUAUUUUUAGAGUCCGUAUGUGUGGGGAAACAAGAGAUAGGGUUGAUUUCGGACCCCUCCACCAAGGGCCACGAAAUUCCCCUCUCUUCCUCCAUAUAUACAGCCCUUAGGGCACCGUUUAGACUUUGGGUUUUGUUUAUAUUAAAAGUUCGCCAUAGCUGCAACUUCGCGUACUUGGUUUGUGUUCAACGACCAGACAAAGGCGUCACAGAACCCCACCUUGAUCAAUAAAGCUUUCAUCUUAUAUUCGCAAUAUCCAGAUUGCAAUCUUAGUUUCUUGCUUGUUCUUCGUUUGCUCGCAGGAAACAGACCCUCGUGGUCAGGUUGAUCGUGCUCCGGCGUGGUCAAUAACCUCUCGGAGUUGGUUUAGCGAUUGCUAAGGCGCGACGUCCUCGCACGUUCGUAGUCGGAUCGUCAAAGUCGACUUCCACCAAAGCGAUAUCCAUCAUCUCAUCGAAAGACGGGACACCUUUGCCUCUAUCAAUGGCUCUCAACCUCACAUAGGAUGUGUGGCAUGCUCUCAAGUGUGGGGCUAGUGGUGGUCACACUCAUCCUCUCAUAGGAAAUGCUCUCAAUGUCACGUGUGGUGGAGUCACUCAUGUCACUCAUGUGGUGGUGGCUCUCCUCACUGGCAAUUGCGGCAUCUCGGCAUAUGUGGGUGUCAGAGAGAUGUAGGUGCAAAUGUCUCCAUGCUCAAUCAUGUCAUGGUCGUAGCCGUGGAUGAAGGUCGAAGAUGGCACAUCAUCACUCUCCUCUAAGACCGAAGAUAAGGUCUCAUAUGCGGUCUCGUAGCUCGUCUCCAUGACCGAAGGGAAUUUCCCAUGCUCGGCCAUCUUCCUUGAGGGGCUUCCGAAGAUGGAAGUGUCGCCCUCGCUCAUAGGUGGUCGGCUUGGACUUGAUGAAGUCGUUGUAGGCAUACUUGUGGGAAGUAGGCGAAGAUGCGGUACGUCCAAAGGCGAAGAUGCCUUGAUAGCACUUGGCGAAGAUGCCAAAGUGGUGGUGGUAGUAGCCAUAGCGCCGUCUUUGUUGUGGUCGUCUCGCGGUCUUAUCUUUUGCUCAUGAAGCAUGGACUUGGCGUGAAGUAGGGCUUGUUGGGACUUGUGCAUUUGCGCUUGGUGAGCAUCUUCAUGAUGAUGUUGGCGUUGUUGCACUUGAUCUCGUAGUAGAUGUCGUUCACCGUCGUCGUGCACAUGUUGCUUGGAGGUGACUUGCCUUCAUGACGAGGUGGAUCACGAAUGUGAUGGUGGUCUCCAUGGUGAUGUGGAUGUGGACAACUUGUGUUUGCAUCAUUUUUGCGCUCCGAAGACUUGUGACUUGAACUUCGCCGCCUUGAGGAUGAUGAAGGGGAAGAACGGUUGAUCAACAAGGUCCGGAUCUCCUGCAUCCUUGCAUCUUGCUCCUCCUUUUGUGCGGAAAGCUUGUUGUCGAUGUAGUCCCUUUUCCUUGCUUCAGAGUGACAAAUUUUGAUGGAGAGGUUCUCGAUGCGCUCUCGCAAUCUUGAUUGUGCGCCUUGCAUUUGUCGUUGUAGAUCGAAGAUUGACGCUUUGGUGAUGUGGUUGUUCACGUCGUCGUUGUUGUGGAAGACCGGAGAUGAAAUGCCGUUCCUAUCCAUCACUCCAAGAGAAAAAUGUGAGUGGUAGAAAGGGAAGAAUGAAUACCAAAUGUACCUUGACCGAAGUUGAAAGUGGAUCAUGAUCACUCCAAUGUGGACAAGGAAAUAGCACAAUUGGUACCAAUUCUUGUCGGUUUCUCACACCUACGCAAAUAAGGCUUAUGGUGAGCUCGGUGAGGAUAGUGGCACAAAAAUUUGAUGUAAAAUGUUAGCAAGAGUCAAUAAUGAUGAAAGAGAUUCACAAAUUCGCAAGUGAAACAAGUAGACCAAUAGCAAUGAAUGGCACACGGAAACGCACACACGGAUGGAUAAAUGGGGUCGUGCAACCAAGGAUGAGGUCAAAAUGUGGAAUCCACGGAAAACACUCGUGUUGCACAACUCAAGAGAGACGCUAGCAUGAUUGCUCAAUAGGCGGAUACGACACUUGUUCACAACCUAUAAGAUGCAAAAUGGAUAACUUUCUAUCCCAAGUAUGCUAUGUAUGUAUGGUUCCCGGUGUUUCUCACAAGGUGAUCCAAGAUGAUCUUAUAUGCAAUGUGGUAUGAUGCUAUGGCUACUGCUUACAAGCAUAUUUGCACUUUCUCUUUUGCUUAAAAGCUUAUUCUUUUUUUGUAUAUGGCCACUUUGCGAAAUGCACAAACCAAGAUAGUAAUUGUGUAUAUGCGGGAACAAACUUGAGGCACAAGAGAUGAUAUGAUGAUACCAAUAUGAUAUGGUAUGUAUGCAAUGUAUGGUGUAGAUCACUAAUGUGCACAAGUAACGUUGCCGGCAAUACUCAAAUGGCUAGUCUCGAUAGGCAAGUGACGCAAAAUGGGCUAGGGGUUAUCAAUGCAAUGGCAAGGGAAUAUACAAUGGAGGGAUACCACAAUACCGAGAUGAUAUGGAGGUUACCGUCCGUGGCGAUGAUGAGUGGCGGUGAUCUUGAUGGAGAUACCAAGAUGAUGGAGACUCGUCCCUAAGUAUCCAAAACACCGUAGGAAACGGAAAAACCGCAAACUCAAAAUAUCAAAUGUCAAAUGUCAAAUGGUGGUAGCGGGAAUGCGGUGGUGGUUUUGUGAAAUCUCAAUGGAAUUGCGGAAUGGCAAUGAUGGGUUGUGGAGUACGCAAUGCGGAAAUGGAGGGUAAGGUGGUGGACUAUACACGGUGUCGGAGUUGGAAGUUCGGUCCCUAAGUAGCCGAAACACCUUAGGAGACACAACUCACAACUCAAACAAAAUUGGGUUAAGUUGGGGUGUGAGGUGGGCAAAACUAUGCGGAAGUUAUGGUGGUGGUAGUGGUUGAUGAAGAAGAAACUGUACCUAAGUAGCAUGGACACCUUAGGAGACUCAAAUCACUCCUCAAGCAACCACUAAUGCGAUGGGAAACAAAAUUGGUUAGGUUACAAAAGUCGGUGGUGGUGUAGCGAAUGGCGUGGUGGAAGCCCUAGGCAAAGAUUCCAAAAUUGUCAAAAUCUGAUGGAGUCAAAAGAUGUUGGUGGUAUUUUUGUGGAAAGGAGGAUGUCAAGAGCUUUUCAACGAGCUAAAGAACGCGAAAAUCGAACUCCGGAUGAAUUAGUUAUGGCCGAAACAAAAUUUGAGUGAAGUUGAUAUCUACAGGUAGCGGACGUCCGGAAAAAAACGGUCCUCCGGUCGCCAGACGUCCGGUCGGGUCGGAAAUCCGCUGAUUCUUCUCGGGUUAGGGGGUUCCGGUCGUCCGGUAAGGUCGGACAUCCGGUAAAGUGACGGUCGUCCGGUGGGUCGGGGUCAACGCGAAAUUUUAGAUCCGGGGCGCGAUUUUGGGCGUAAAAUGGAGAUUUUGGGGUCAAAAUUGAUGGGAUUUCAUGGAUGAAAGAUGGGGAAACUUGGGGAAACGCUAGAUCCACUCAAAAUCAAGCAAAUUCAUGGAUCAAAAUCAACAAAACAUCAUCAGACCAACAAAUCACAAAAAACAUUGAGGCUAUUUUUGGUGGGGAUUUUCGAAUUUGGGGAAGAACGCAACAAAAUUAGGCUAGAAAACACAACGGGGAGGCUCCGAAAUCGUGAUCAACGUGGCUCAUGAUACCAAGAUGUUGUAGGGUAGGAACCCUAUAGGCCGAUCUUUCACGAAAGGAGCGGAUCCCGCGAUGAACACGAAGAACACGAGGAGGAAAACGAGGGAAAACACAAGGGAACACACAAGAGGAGCACUCAAACUAACAAGAACAAGUCACACAUGUGCUAGAUCCUUGAGUACAAAGGGGAAGAUACACGAUCCAAAGUCAACAACGGAUGAUACACGGUAACCGGUCUUCUAAGUGAGGAGGUCUUGAGUUCUUCCCUAAAGAGGGGUCUUGAAUCCGCUUGGAGGAUCUUCUCCGAUGGAGGCUCGAAUCUCCGAGGAGAAGGUAACCAAGUGGAUGAGCAAAGCUCUCACACGAAAUUUGAGCUAAUCCUUUGCUAACCUUAACUAGGAGGAGGAGGAGGUCUAUUUAUAGUCUUAGUGCAAAAAGGGGGCUAAGUGAAGUGGUACAUGGGCCUCGGGCCCGAACACUGUGUGCGGACAGGUACCGGACGUCCGCUGGGGAUCGGUCGUCCGGUGGCUCACAGGCGGCCGGACGUCCGUUAGACGUCUGACGUCUGCUCGAUCUGGCUCGAAAGCUGUAGUGCCGGAUUUCCAGAGGUGAUAGAGGCGGGGGUGUCCCGAUCUUUCGAUGAGAUGAUAACUAUCGAUUUGGUGGAGACGACUUUGACAAUCCGACUACAAACGUGCACGACGUUGCGCCUUAGCAAUCGCUAAACCAACUCCGAGAGGUUAUUGACCACGCUGGAGCACGAUCAACCAGACCACGAAGGUCUAUUCCUGCAAGCAAUCGAAGAACGAGCAAGAAUAUGAUAAAGCAAUCUGAAUAUUGCGAAUAUAUAUGAAGUAUUGAUGAGGACAUCAAUACAAUUGUUACACCCACAGCCCCUGCUGCUAUACAUACUGGACCAAUUACUAGAGCUCGUGCACGCCAACUAAAUUACCAGGUACUUUCGUUUCUUGGUAAUGAUUCUAAUGUUCAUGAGAAUAUGAUGCUGCCUAAAUUGGAUACAUUUGUUUUGCUUACAAAUGAAGGGCCUAGCUUGGAGAAGGAUGAAUAUUGGAGCAAGAACAAGCAUGGAGAUGAUGGCAUGCGCAAGGGGAACAAGAACGGAGUUACAAGUGAUGAUUUCAGGACUUUGAAGCCACCAUAAUGGGUGCAUGAAGCCUUGGACGAAAUAUACAAGAUGCCACUUCAUAAAUUUCGUCCCGAGGCUAUUUUAGGUGCUGCGUCACCUUAUUAUUGGGCCAGGCCCAUGUAAUUUCGAAAUACAUAAGUAUAGGCUAUUUUUAGAGUCCGUAUGUGUGGGGAAACAAGAGAUAGGUUUGAUUUCGGACCCCUCCACCAAGGGCCACGAAAUUCCCCCCCCUCUUCCUCCAUAUAUACAGCCCUUAGGGCAUCGUUUAGACUUUGGGUUUUGUUUAGAUUAAAAGUUCGCCAUAGCUGCAACUUCGCGUACUUCGUUUGUGUUCAACGACCAGACAAAGGCGUCACAGAACCCCACCUUGAUCAAUAAAGCUUUCAUCUUAUAUUCGCAAUAUCCAGAUUGCAAUCUUAGUUUCUUGCUUGUUCUUCGUUUGCUCGCAGGAAACAGACCCUCGUGGUCAGGUUGAUCGUGCUCCGGCGUGGUCAAUAACCUCUCGGAGUUGGUUUAGCGAUUGCUAAGGCGCGACGUCCUCGCACGUUCGUAGUCGGAUCGUCAAAGUCGACUUCCACCAAAGCGAUAUCCAUCAUCUCAUCGAAAGAUCGGGACCCUCGCCUCUAUCAAAAACAAACUAGAUAAGAUGCAGAUUGGAUCAAGUGAAGAUGUGAACGAUCUCAACUAUUAUUAUGACAAUGAAUGGUGGGUAGCACGUGGUGGAAAUUGAUGGAUGGGUGGUGGACAGCGGAAGAGAUAAUGAUGCAGCGGUGGCGUGACUAAUGUGAACAGAACUCGAAACUCUAAACGAACUAGACACUAAGACCAGCAACUCGACACGACGAUGCAACCGAUAAUUCAACUAUGCAAGCAAUGAAAAGAAAAUUGCAAAGGCUCAGACUGGCUUGGACCAAGGAUGAAUAGAUCUAACUCUUUUUUGUGGCUUUUUCUUGGACAAUAGGUAAGAAAAUAAAUCUAAUCUAGGAAAACUGGAAAUUCUCACCGAGCAACCUGAAAACUGAUACCACUUGAUAGAGGCGAGGUGUCCCGAUCUUUCGAUGAGAUGAUAACUAUCGAUUUGGUGGAGAUGUGAUAGAGGCGAGGGUCCCGAUCUUUCGAUGAGAUGAUGGAUAUCGCUUUGGUGGAAGUCGACUUUGACGAUCCGACUACGAACGUGCGAGGACGUCGCGCCUUAGCAAUCGCUAAACCAACUCCGAGAGGUUAUUGACCACGCCGGAGCACGAUCAACCUGACCACGAGGGUCUGUUUCCUGCGAGCAAACGAAGAACAAGCAAGAAACUAAGAUUGCAAUCUGGAUAUUGCGAAUAUAAGAUGAAAGCUUUAUUGAUCAAGGUGGGGUUCUGUGACGCCUUUGUCUGGUCGUUGAACACAAACGAAGUACGCGAAGUUGCAGCUAUGGCGAACUUUUAAUCUAAACAAAACCCAAAGUCUAAACGAUGCCCUAAGGGCUGUAUAUAUGGAGGAAGAGGGGGAGAAUUUCGUGGCCCUUGGUGGAGGGGUCCGAAAUCAACCCUAUCUCUUGUUUCCCCACACAUACGGACUCUAAAAAUAGCCUAUACUUAUGUAUUUCGAAAUUACAUGGGCCUGGCCCAAUAAUAAGGUGACGCAGCACCUAAAAUAGCCUCGGGACGAAAUUUAUGAAGUGGCGUCUUGUAUAUUUCGUCCAAGGCUUCAUGCACCCAUUAUGGUGGCUUCAAAGUCCUGAAAUCAUCACUUGUAACUCCGUUCUUGUUUCCCUUGCGCAUGCCAUCACUCCAUGCUUGUUCUUGCUCCAAUGUUCAUCCUUCUCCAAGCUAGGCCCUUCAUUUGUAAGCAAAACAAAUGUAUCCAAUUUAGGCAGCAUCAUAUUCUCAUGAACAUUAGAAUCAUUACCAAGAAACGAAAGUACCUGGUAAUUUAGUUGGCGUGCACGAGCUCUAGUAAUUGGUCCAGUAUGUAUAGCAGCAGGGGCUGUGGGUGUAACAAUUGUAUUGAUGUCCUCAUCAUCCUCCCCUUCUUGAAAUGAAGUCGUCCUCGACGGAAGUUCAUCUUCCUCACCCAAAUAAGGCUUCAAAUCUGCAAUGUUAAAAGUGGGACUAACCCCAAAAUCUGCAGGCAGCUCAAGUUUAUAUGCAUUAUCAUUUAUUUUCUCUAACACCUUAAAGGGACCAUCAGCACGUGGCAUUAACUUUGAUUUGCGCAAAUCAGGAAAUCUAUCCUUACGCAAAUGUAACCAAACAAGAUCUCCAGGUGCAAAUACAACAUGUUUUCUACCCUUAUCUCCAGCAAGUUUAUAUUUAGCAUUCAUGCGCUCAAUGUUUUCCUUAGUUAACUCAUGCAUUUUUAAAAUCAAUUCAGCACGUUGUUUAGCAUCAAAAUUAACCUUCUCCGAAGAUGGAAGAGGCAACAAAUCAAUAGGUGCACGAGGUAGGAAACCAUACACAACUUCAAAAGGGCACAUCUUAGUAGUAGAAUGCAAUGAACGAUUAUAAGCAAAUUCAAUAUGAGGCAAGCAUUCCUCCCACAUUUUCUUAUUAUUCUUCAAAACAGCCCUAAGCAUAGUAGACAACGUUCUAUUGACUACUUCAGUUUGUCCAUCAGUUUGGGGGUGACAAGUAGUACUAAAAAGCAGUUUAGUCCCCAACUUAGCUGAUGAGGACAUCAAUACAAUUGUUACACCCACAGCCCCUGCUGCUAUACAUACUGGACCAAUUACUAGAGCCCGUGCACGCCAACUAAAUUACCAGGUACUUUCGUUUCUUGGUAAUGAUUCUAAUGUUCAUGAGAAUAUGAUGCUGCCUAAAUUGGAUACAUUUGUUUUGCUUACAAAUGAAGGGCCUAGCUUGGAGAAGGAUGAACAUUGGAGCAAGAACAAGCAUGGAGAUGAUGGCAUGCGCAAGGGGAACAAGAACGGAGUUACAAGUGAUGAUUUCAGGACUUUGAAGCCACCAUAAUGGGUGCAUGAAGCCUUGGACGAAAUAUACAAGAUGCCACUUCAUAAAUUUCGUCCCGAGGCUAUUUUAGGUGCUGCGUCACCUUAUUAUUGGGCCAGGCCAAUGUAAUUUCGAAAUACAUAAGUAUAGGCUAUUUUUAGAGUCCGUAUGUGUGGGGAAACAAGAGAUAGGGUUGAUUUCGGACCCCUCCACCAAGGGCCACGAAAUUCCCCCCUCUUCCUCCAUAUAUACAGCCCUUAGGGCAUCGUUUAGACUUUGGGUUUUGUUUAGAUUAAAAGUUCGCCAUAGCUGCAACUUCGCGUACUUCGUUUGUGUUCAACGACCAGACAAAGGCGUCACAGAACCCCACCUUGAUCAAUAAAGCUUUCAUCUUAUAUUCGCAAUAUCCAGAUUGCAAUCUUAGUUUCUUGCUUGUUCUUCGUUUGCUCGCAAGAAACAGACCCUCGUGGUCAGGUUGAUCGUGCUCCGGCGUGGUCAAUAACCUCUCGGAGUUGGUUUAGCGAUUGCUAAGGCGCGACGUCCUCGCAUGUUCGUAGUCGGAUCGUCAAAGUCGACUUCCACCAAAGCGAUAUCCAUCAUCUCAUCGAAAGACGGGACACCUUUGCCUCUAUCAAGUGGUAUCAGAUUUCCAGGUUGCUCGGUGAGAUUUUACAGUUUUUCGUAGUUUAGAUCGAGUCUGUUCUUCAUACCUACAGUCCACGAAAAAGCCACAAAAAAAAUUAGGGUUAGUUCAUCAUAUCCGAACCAAUCUGAGCCUUUACAUAAUCUUUUUAGGGUUUUGCUUUGUUGAAUUUGCGGUUGCAUCGUCGUGUCUAGUUGCUGGUCUUAGAGUCUAGUCUUUUAGAGUUUCGAGUUCUGGUCAUAAGUUGUCACGCCACCGCCGCACCAUCAUCAUCGCCCCUGCCAUCUACCACCACCGCUUAUCCGCCACCGCUCCGAAUCCGUAUCCAUAUACCACCACCAGUCCGUGUCCAUAUACCACCACCGAUCCAUAUCCAUAUACUACUACCGCUACCACCACCGCUGCCAUAUACCACCACCAUAUAUCCACCACCAAUCCGAGUUCCUUGCAUAUUAGGUUUGUUUUCGAGAUCCAUCUAGAUUUCGAUUCGUGUUUCCUUGCCGGAGUCGGGUAGCCACGCUCCGUUUAGGCCCAAAAUUUUUCGAAAACGCAUUUUUCGAAAAAAUUUCUGGCUAUCCUAUUUUUAGGUGUUUCUGAGUGUUUUGAGACAGGUGCCAUUAUAGGAAGUUUUUUUUGACCCGUUUCCAAUUUUUGGGUCCGGGCAGUCGAAAAAAAAAAAUUUGGUCGAAAAAAAAAUUUCGUGCCCAUCCUGUCAGUUUGACCUAGGAAGAGUUUUGAGACACUCGCCAUUAUAGUGAUUUUUCGCAAAAAAAAAGCAGCGCAAAAAAAAAAGAGCGCAAAAAAAAAGAGCGAAAAAAAAAUUCAGAGUGUGCUUUUCCCUUGUUUACGUGUCGCGCCGUGAUUUUGUUGGUGUUCUAGGCUCGCGUCUCUAGCACAGUCUAGCCUAGGACCAGCACAGUACUGUCGUUGAGCGUUUAUUCAACUUUGCAUCUCUGAAUUGAUUAUUGCUGACCCUUUUUGCUACCAUACUAUAAGCCUUCCCAGCUCUACAUACAUCUACGUCGUGUGUUUGACUCUCCCUGGUACUCGCUCUAUCCAAGCUUUGAGAGUUUUUGACUACAACGGUUGCCGAUCACCGCCUGCUGCUGGGUAAGAACUGGUAAGAAUUUGAGAUUUGCUUGACGGAUUUGUGAUACACCACCACCACUUCUUAGUAGUCUGUAGGAUCAUAUUCUUGUGUGUUUCUAUUGCUGCUAACCAUGCCAGGAUCACAAGCCGACGAGAUUGACUGGGAGAACUUAUCGAACAAGGAGCUUCAUGAUAAGUUUCAGCAAAUGAUGACUGAACAGGUACAAGAUGUGCUGAACAAUUUUGAAGAGGCCAUGGAGAAGAUCACUGGCCUUGAGAAGACGUUCGAAACAAAGCUCGAUAACAGAUUUAAUGAACUGCUUGCGCGUCUUCCACCACCGGCUGCACCUGUCGUACCUCUGCAACAACAACAACUACGCCCCCUUCCGAAUCAGUAUGGACGAGCACAGCGUGUUCCUAUUGAGCUAGGACAAAAUUCUGGUGCCGCUGUUACUGCUGUUGGUGCUUCUUUGGCUCCUGCUACUGCUCCUGCUGGUACCCAGGAGGAUGAUGAGUAUGCGGGCGAUUAUGAGGAUGAGGUUGAUCAAAAUCAGAUCUACGAGCAGCCACCAGCACCACCACCAGCAGGUCGACCUCAGGUAUAUAUUCGUAAUGGUAGGCCUGCACCACCACCUCAGGUACGAGAUGAUGUCCAUAUUCCUAAACUGAAAUUGAAUAUUCCACCAUUUGAGGGUAGAUAUGUUCCUGAUAUAUAUCUUACUUGUGAGUUAGAAACUGAACAACGAUUUACAUGUUUACAAUAUCCUGAGGAGAGACGAGUUGCUGCUGCUGUUUGUGCUUUCACUAGUUUUGCAUGUGUAUGGUGGUCUGAACAUUGUAGAUUAUAUCCUACUCCAACUACUUGGGCUGCUUUGAAAACUGCUAUGCGUACGCGUUGGGUUCCACCAUAUUAUCAACGUGAAUUGCUUCAAAAAUUGCAGCGUUUAAGACAAGGGAAAAAUUCUGUAGAAGAAUAUUAUCAGGAAUUACAAACUGGCAUGAUUAGAUGUGGUAUUGUUGAGGAGAAUGAAGCUAUGCUUGCACGUUUUCUGGGUGGAUUAAAUAGAGAGAUUCAGACCAUUCUAGACUAUAAGGAGUAUACUAAUAUCACUCGUUUAUUCCAUCUUGCUUGUAAAGCUGAACAUGAAGUGCAGGAUCGACAAGCAUUGGCGCGAACUAACUUUUCUGCAGGCCGACCUUCAUCAUGGACACCGCGUGCAUCUUCUACUUCAACUGCACCAGCACCUCAAUCAGGUGCCUCCUACAGCCGUGAUACAAGAAAACAGGAACAACCACCAUUAUCUGCCAAGAGCGCACCUGCCGGGCCUGCACAGAGUUCUUCUUCUUCCAGGGCAUCAACAGGGCACACAAGUGAUAUUAUUUGUCGUCAUUGUAAGGGAGGAGGUCAUUAUGCGAGAGAAUGCAAAUCUCCGCGUGUGAUGAUUGCUACCGCGGAUGGUGGAUAUGAGUCCGCUAGUGACUAUGAUGAGGAGACAUUGGCUCUUAUUACACGUGAAGAACAUGGUGAUAGAGGCGGAGGUGUCCCGUUUUUCGAUGAGAUGAUGGAUAUCGCUUUGGUGGAAGUCGACUUUGACGAUCCGACUAUGAACGUGCGAGGACGUCGCGCCUUAGCAAUCGCUAAACCAACUCCGAGAGGUUAUUGACCACGCCGGAGCACGAUCAACCUGACCACGAGGGUCUGUUUCCUGCGAGCAAACGAAGAACAAGCAAGAAACUAAGAUUGCAAUCUGGAUAUUGCGAAUAUAAGAUGAAAGCUUUAUUGAUCAAGGUGGGGUUCUGUGACGCCUUUGUCUGGUCGUUGAACACAAACGAAGUACGCGAAGUUGCAGCUAUGGCGAACUUUUAAUCUAAACAAAACCCAAAGUCUAAACGAUGCCCUAAGGGCUGUAUAUAUGGAGGAAGAGGGGGGAAUUUCGUGGCCCUUGGUGGAGGGGUCCGAAAUCAACCCUAUCUCUUGUUUCCCCACACAUACGGACUCUAAAAAUAGCCUAUACUUAUGUAUUUCGAAAUUACAUGGGCCUGGCCCAAUAAUAAGGUGACGCAGCACCUAAAUUAGCCUCGGGACGAAAUUUAUGAAGUGGCAUCUUGUAUAUUUCGUCCAAGGCUUCAUGCACCCAUUAUGGUGGCUUCAAAGUCCUGAAAUCAUCACUGGUAACUCCGUUCUUGUUCCCCUUGCGCAUGCCAUCAUCUCCAUGCUUGUUCUUGCUCCAAUGUUCAUCCUUCUCCAAGCUAGGCCCUGGUAAUUUAGUUGGCGUGCACGAGCUCUAGUAAUUGGUCCAGUAUGUAUAGCAGCAGGGGCUGUGGGUGUAACAAUUGUAUUGAUGUCCUCAUCAUCCUCCCCUUCUUGAAAUGAAGUCGUCCUCGACGGAAGUUCAUCUUCCUCACCCAAAUAAGGCUUCAAAUCUGCAAUGUUAAAAGUGGGACUAACCCCAAAAUCUGCAGGCAGCUCAAGUUUAUAUGCAUUAUCAUUUAUUUUCUCUAACACCUUAAAGGGACCAUCAGCACGUGGCAUUAACUUUGAUUUGCGCAAAUCAGGAAAUCUAUCCUUACGCAAAUGUAACCAAACAAGAUCUCCAGGUGCAAAUACAACAUGUUUUCUACCCUUAUCUCCAGCAAGUUUAUAUUUAGCAUUCAUGCGCUCAAUGUUUUCCUUAGUUAACUCAUGCAUUUUUAAAAUCAAUUCAGCACGUUGUUUAGCAUCAAAAUUAACCUUCUCCGAAGAUGGAAGAGGCAACAAAUCAAUAGGUGCACGAGGUAGGAAACCAUACACAACUUCAAAAGGGCACAUCUUAGUAGUAGAAUGCAAUGAACGAUUAUAAGCAAAUUCAAUAUGAGGCAAGCAUUCCUCCCACAUUUUCUUAUUAUUCUUCAAAACAGCCCUAAGCAUAGUAGACAACGUUCUAUUGACUACUUCAGUUUGUCCAUCAGUUUGGGGGUGACAAGUAGUACUAAAAAGCAGUUUAGUCCCCAACUUAGCUGAUGAGGACAUCAAUACAAUUGUUACACCCACAGCCCCUGCUGCUAUACAUACUGGACCAAUUACUAGAGCCCGUGCACGCCAACUAAAUUACCAGGUACUUUCGUUUCUUGGUAAUGAUUCUAAUGUUCAUGAGAAUAUGAUGCUGCCUAAAUUGGAUACAUUUGUUUUGCUUACAAAUGAAGGGCCUAGCUUGGAGAAGGAUGAACAUUGGAGCAAGAACAAGCAUGGAGAUGAUGGCAUGCGCAAGGGGAACAAGAACGGAGUUACAAGUGAUGAUUUCAGGACUUUGAAGCCACCAUAAUGGGUGCAUGAAGCCUUGGACGAAAUAUACAAGAUGCCACUUCAUAAAUUUCGUCCCGAGGCUAUUUUAGGUGCUGCGUCACCUUAUUAUUGGGCCAGGCCCAUGUAAUUUCGAAAGACAUAAGUAUAGGCUAUUUUUAGAGUCCGUAUGUGUGGGGAAACAAGAGAUAGGGUUGAUUUCGGACCCCUCCACCAAGGGCCACGAAAUUCCCCCCUCUUCCUCCAUAUAUACAGCCCUUAGGGCAUCGUUUAGACUUUGGGUUUUGUUUAGAUUAAAAGUUCGCCAUAGCUGCAACUUCGCGUACUUCGUUUGUGUUCAACGACCAGACAAAGGCGUCACAGAACCCCACCUUGAUCAAUAAAGCUUUCAUCUUAUAUUCGCAAUAUCCAGAUUGCAAUCUUAGUUUCUUGCUUGUUCUUCGUUUGCUCGCAGGAAACAGACCCUCGUGGUCAGGUUGAUCGUGCUCCGGCGUGGUCAAUAACCUCUCGGAGUUGGUUUAGCGAUUGCUAAGGCGCGACGUCCUCGCACGUUCGUAGUCGGAUCGUCAAAGUCGACUUCCACCAAAGCGAAAUCCACCAUCUCAUCGAAAGACGGGACACCUCCGCCUCUAUCAAUCUUACUUGGGAGUUAGAAACUGAACAACGAUUUACAUGUUUACAAUAUCCUGAGGAGAGACGAGUUGCUGCUGCCGUUUGUGCUUUCACUAGUUUUGCAUGUGUAUGGUGGUCUGAACAUUGUAGAUUAUAUCCUAUUCCAACUACUUGGGCUGCUUUGAAAACUGCUAUGCGUACGCGUUGGGUUCCACCAUAUUAUCAACGUGAAUUGCUUCAAAAAUUGCAGCGUUUAAGACAAGGGAAAAAUUCUGUAGAAGAAUAUUAUCAGGAAUUACAAACUGGCAUGAUUAGAUGUGGUAUUGUUGAGGAGAAUGAAGCUAUGCUUGCACGUUUUCUGGGUGGAUUAAAUAGAGAGAUUCAGACCAUUCUAGACUAUAAGGAGUAUACUAAUAUCACUCGUUUAUUCCAUCUUGCUUGUAAAGCUGAACGUGAAGUGCAGGAUCGACAAGCAUUGGGGCGAACUAACUUUUCUGCAGGCCGGCCUUCAUCAUGGACACCACGUGCAUCUUCUACUUCAACUGCACCAGCACCUCCAUCCGGUGCCACCUCCAGCCGUGAUACAAGAAAACAGGCACAACCACCAUUAACUGCCAAGAGCGCACCUGCGGGGCCUGCACAGCGUUCUUCUUCUUCCAUGGCAUCAACAGGGCACACAAGUGAUAUUAUUUGUCGUCGUUGUAAGGGAGGAGGUCAUUAUGCGAGGGAAUGCAAAUCUCCGCAUGUGAUGGUUGCUACUGCGGAUGGUGGAUAUGAGUCCGCUAGUGACUAUGAUGAGGAGACAUUGGCUCUUAUUACACGUGAAGAACAUGGUGGAGAUGAUUCUGAUCAUGAGACGCAAUACAUGGCUCCUGAAGACGCUGACAGGUAUGAAUGUUUAGUUGCUCAACGUGUUUUGAGUGUGCAGGUCACACAAGCUGAGCAAAAUUAGAGGCACAAUUUGUUCCAUACCAAGGGAGUUGUGAAGGAACGUUCUGUGCGCGUCAUAAUAGACGGAGGGAGCUGCAACAACUUGGCUAGCAUGGAGAUGGUGGAGAAGCUUUCUCUCACCACAAGACCACAUCCACAUCCUUACUACAUCCAAUGGUUCAACAACAGCGGCAAGGUUAAGGUAACACGUACUGUUCGUGUGCAUUUUAGUAUCUCUACAUAUGCUGAUUAUGUUGAUUGUGAUGUGGUACCUAUGCAAGCAUGUUCCUUAUUACUUGGUAGACCAUGGCAAUUUGAUAAAAUCUGUACACCAUGGUAGAAACAAUCACUAUACUCUUGUUCAUAAGGAUAAAAAUAUUACUUUGCUUCCUAUGACUCCUGAUUCCAUUUUGAAAGAUGAUAUUAAUAGAGCUAAUAAAGCACAACAGGAGAAGAAUAAGAGUGAAAAUCAGAUUGUGGCAAAAGAAUUUGAGCAACAAAUGAAGCCUAAUAAUAAACAAUCUAGUGUUGCUUCUGAAAUUAAAUUGAAAAGUGCAUGUUUAUUUGCCACCAAAUCUGAUAUUGAUGAGCUAGAUUUCAGCAAAUCUGUUUGCUAUGCUUUUGUGUGCAAAGAGGCAUUAUUUUCAUUCGAGGACGUGCCUUCCUCUUUGCCUCCUGCUGUCACUAACAUUUUGCAGGAGUUCGCUGACGUUUUUCCACAAGACGUGCCACCGGGAUUACCGCCAAUUCGAGGGAUUGAGCAUCAGAUUGACUUAAUUCCCGGUGCUUCACUGCCAAACCGUGCACCAUACCGUACCAAUCCAGAGGAGACGAAGGAGAUUAUGCGUCAAGUACAAGAGCUUCUCGACAAAGGUUAUAUACGCGAAUCCCUUAGUCCUUGUGCUGUUCCUAUUAUUCUAGUGCCGAAAAAGGAUGGUACAUCACGUAUGUGUGUUGAUUGUAGAGGCAUUAAUAAUAUUACUAUUCGUUAUCGUCAUCCUAUUCCUAGGCUAGAUGAUAUGCUUGAUGAAUUGAGUGGCUCUACAAUGUUCUCCAAAGUUGAUUUGCGUAGUGGUUACCAUCAAAUUCGUAUGAAAUUGGGAGAUGAAUGGAAAAUAGCAUUUAAAACUAAGUUUGGAUUAUAUGAGUGGUUAGUCAUGCCUUUUGGGUUAACUAAUGCACCUAGUACUUUCAUGAGAUUAAUGAACGAAGUUUUACGUGCUUUCAUUGGACGAUUUGUGGUAGUUUACUUUGAUGACAUAUUGAUUUAUAGCAGAUCUUUGGAAGAACAUUUGGAACAUUUACGUGCUGUUUUUAUUGCUCUACGUGAUGCACGUUUGUUUGGUAACCUUGGGAAGUGCACCUUUUGCACCGACCGAGUAUCUUUUCUUGGCUAUGUUGUUACUCCACAGGGAAUUGAAGUUGAUAAAGCCAAGAUUGAAGCUAUUGAGAGUUGGCCGCAGCCCAAAACGGUCACACAAGUGAGGAGUUUUCCUGGCCUCGCUGGAUUCUAUAGGCGUUUUGUGAGAGAUUUCAGCACCAUUGCUGCACCUCUCAAUGAGCUUACAAAGAAAGAUGUGCCUUUUCUUUGGGGUACUGCACAGGAAGAAGCCUUCACGGUAUUGAAAGAUAAGUUGACACAUGCUCCUUUACUCCAACUUCCUGAUUUUAAUAAGACUUUUGAGCUUGAAUGUGAUGCUAGUGGAAUUGGAUUAGGAGGUGUGUUAUUACAAGAUGGCAAACCUGUUGCAUACUUUUCUGAAAAAUUGAGUGGGCCUAGUCUGAAUUAUUCUACUUAUGAUAAAGAAUUAUAUGCUCUUGUUCGGACUUUAGAAACAUGGCAACAUUAUUUAUGGCCCAAAGAAUUUGUUAUACAUUCUGAUCAUGAAUCUUUGAAACAUAUUAGAAGUCAAGCUAAACUGAAUCGUAGACAUGCUAAAUGGGUUGAAUUCAUUGAGACUUUCCCUUAUGUCAUUAAACACAAGAAGGGAAAAGAAAAUGUUACUGCUGAUGCAUUGUCUCGUCGCUAUACUAUGCUUUCACUACUUGACUUCAAAAUAUUUGGUUUGGAGACCAUCAAAGAUCAAUAUGUGCAUGAUGCUGAUUUAAAAGAUGUAAUGCAGAAUUGUAAAGAAGGAAGAAUGUGGAACAAGUUUGUUGUUAACGAUGGAUUUGUGUUUCGUGCUAACAAGCUAUGCAUUCCAGCUAGCUCCGUUCGUCUUUUGUUGUUGCAGGAGGCGCAUGGAGGAGGAUUAAUGGGACACUUUAGCGUGAAGAAGACGGAGGACGUACUUGCUACACAUUUCUUUUGGCCAAAGAAGAGACGGGAUGUUGAGCGUUUUAUUGCUCGCUGCACUACAUGUCAAAAAGCUAAGUCACGACUCAAUCCUCAUGGUUUAUAUAUGCCUUUGCCUGUACCUAGUGUUCCUUGGGAGGAUAUAUCAAUGGACUUUGUUUUAGGUUUACCUCGAACAAAGAAGGGGAGGGAUAGCAUAUUUGUUGUCGUGGAUAGAUUCUCGAAAAUGGCACACUUUAUACCAUGUCAUAAAAGCGAUGAUGCUGUUAAUGUUGCUGAUUUGUUCUUUCGUGAAAUUAUUCGCUUGCAUGGUGUGCCAAAUACUAUUGUUUCAGAUCGUGAUACUAAAUUUCUUAGCCACUUUUGGAGAUGUUUAUGGGCUAAGUUGGGGACUAAACUGCUUUUUAGUACUACUUGUCACCCCCAAACUGAUGGACAAACUGAAGUAGUCAAUAGAACGUUAUCUACUAUGCUUAGGGCUGUUUUGAAGAAUAAUAAGAAAAUGUGGGAGGAAUGCUUGCCUCAUAUUGAAUUUGCUUAUAAUCGUUCAUUGCAUUCUACUACUAAGAUGUGCCCUUUUGAAGUUGUGUAUGGUUUCCUACCUCGUGCACCUAUUGAUUUGUUGCCUCUUCCAUCUUCGGAGAAGGUUAAUUUUGAUGCUAAACAACGUGCUGAAUUGAUUUUAAAAAUGCAUGAGUUAACUAAGGAAAACAUUGAGCGUAAGGAUAGAUUUCCUGAUUUGCGCAAAUCAAAGUUAAUGCCACGUGCUGAUGGUCCCUUUAAGGUGUUAGAGAAAAUAAAUGAUAAUGCAUAUAAACUUGAGCUGCCUGCAAAUUUUGGGGUUAGUCCCACUUUUAACAUUGCAGAUUUGAAGCCUUAUUUGGGUGAGGAAGAUGAACUUCCGUCGAGGACGACUUCAUUUCAAGAAGGGGAGGAUGAUGAGGACAUCAAUACAAUUGUUACACCCACAGCCCCUGCUGCUAUACAUACUGGACCAAUUACUAGAGCUCGUGCACGCCAACUAAAUUACCAGGUACUUUCGUUUCUUGGUAAUGAUUCUAAUGUUCAUGAGAAUAUGAUGCUGCCUAAAUUGGAUACAUUUGUUUUGCUUACAAAUGAAGGGCCUAGCUUGGAGAAGGAUGAACAUUGGAGCAAGAACAAGCAUGGAGAUGAUGGCAUGCGCAAGGGGAACAAGAACGGAGUUACCAGUGAUGAUUUCAAGACUCUGAAGCCACCAUAAUGGGUGCAUGAAGCCUUGGACGAAAUAUACAAGAUGCCACUUCAUAAAUUUCGUCCCGAGGCUAUUUUAGGUGCUGCGUCACCUUAUUAUUGGGCCAGGCCCAUGUAAUUUCGAAAUACAUAAGUAUAGGCUAUUUUUAGAGUCCGUAUGUGUGGGGAAACAAGAGAUAGGGUUGAUUUCGGACUCCUCCACCAAGGGCCACGAAAUUCCCCCCCUCUUCCUCCAUAUAUACAGCCCUUAGGGCAUCGUUUAGUCUUUGGGUUUUGUUUAGAUUAAAAGUUCGCCAUAGCUGCAACUUCGCGUACUUCGUUUGUGUUCAACGACCAGACAAAGGCGUCACAGAACCCCACCUUGAUCAAUAAAGCUUUCAUCUUAUAUUCGCAAUAUCCAGAUUGCAAUCUUAGUUUCUUGCUUGUUCUUCGUUUGCUCGCAGGAAACAGACCCUCGUGGUCAGGUUGAUCGUGCUCCGGCGUGGUCAAUAACCUCUCGGAGUUGGUUUAGCGAUUGCUAAGGCGCGACGUCCUCGCACGUUCGUAGUCGGAUCGUCAAAGUCGACUUCCACCAAAGCGAAAUCCACCAUCUCAUCGAAAGACGGGACACCUUUGCCUCUAUCACCUUGUGCUGUUCCUAUUAUUCUAGUGCCGAAAAAGGAUGGUACAUCACGUAUGUGUGUUGAUUGUAGAGGCAUUAAUAAUAUUACUAUUCGUUAUCGUCAUCCUAUUCCUAGGCUAGAUGAUAUGCUUGAUGAAUUGAGUGGUUCUACAAUAUUCUCCAAAGUUGAUUUGCGUAGUGGCUACCAUCAAAUUCGUAUGAAAUUGGGAGAUGAAUGGAAAACAGCAUUUAAAACUAAGUUUGGAUUAUAUGAGUGGUUAGUCAUGCCUUUUGGGUUAACUAAUGCACCUAGUACUUUCAUGAGAUUAAUGAACGAAGUUUUACGUGCUUUCAUUGGACGAUUUGUGGUAGUUUACUUUGAUGACAUACUGAUUUAUAGCAGAUCUUUGGAAGAACAUUUGGAACAUUUACGUGCUGUUUUUAUUGCUCUACGUGAUGCACGUUUGUUUGGUAACCUUGGGAAGUGCACCUUUUGCACCGAUCGAGUAUCUUUUCUUGGCUAUGUUGUUACUCCACAGGGAAUUGAAGUUGACAAAGCCAAGAUUGAAGCUAUUGAGAGUUGGCCGCAGCCCAAAACGGUCACACAAGUGAGGAGUUUUCUUGGCCUCGCUGGAUUCUAUAGGCGUUUUGUGAGAGAUUUCAGCACCAUUGCUGCACCUCUCAAUGAGCUUACAAAGAAAGAUGUGCCUUUUCUUUGGGGUACCGCACAGGAAGAAGCCUUCACAGUAUUGAAAGAUAAGUUGACACAUGCUCCUUUACUCCAACUUCCUGAUUUUAAUAAGACUUUUGAGCUUGAAUGUGAUGCUAGUGGAAUUGGAUUAGGAGGUGUGUUAUUACAAGAUGGCAAACCUGUUGCAUACUUUUCUGAAAAAUUGAGUGGGCCUAGUCUGAAUUAUUCUACUUAUGAUAAAGAAUUAUAUGCUCUUGUUCGGACUUUAGAAACAUGGCAACAUUAUUUAUGGCCCAAAGAAUUUGUUAUACAUUCUGAUCAUGAAUCUUUGAAACAUAUUAAAAGUCAAGCUAAACUGAAUCAUAGACAUGCUAAAUGGGUUAAAUUCAUUGAGACUUUCCCUUAUGUCAUUAAACACAAGAAGGGAAAAGAAAAUGUUAUUGCUGAUGCAUUGUCUCGUCGCUAUACUAUGCUUUCACAACUUGACUUCAAAAUAUUUGGUUUGGAGACCAUCAAAGAUCAAUAUGUGCAUGAUGCUGAUUUUAAAGAUGUAAUGCAGAAUUGUAAAGAAGGAAGAAUGUGGAACAAGUUUGUCGUUAACGAUGGAUUUGUGUUUCGUGCUAACAAGCUAUGCAUUCCAGCUAGCUCCGUUCGUCUUUUGUUGUUGCAGGAGGCGCAUGGAGGAGGAUUAAUGGGACACUUUGGCGUGAAGAAGACGGAGGACGUACUUGCUACACAUUUCUUUUGGCCAAAGAUGAGACGGGAUGUUGAGCGUUUUAUUGCUCGAUGCACUACAUGUCAAAAAGCUAAGUCACGACUCAAUCCUCAUGGUUUAUAUAUGCCUUUGCCUGUACCUAGUGUUCCUUGGGAGGAUAUAUCUAUGGACUUUGUUUUAGGUUUACCUCGAACAAAGAAGGGGAGGGAUAGCAUAUUUGUUGUCGUGGAUAGAUUCUCGAAAAUGGCACACUUUAUACCAUGUCAUAAAAGCGAUGAUGCUGUUAAUGUUGGUGAUUUGUUCUUUCGUGAAAUUAUUCGCUUGCAUGGUGUGCCAAAUACUAUUGUUUCAGAUCGUGAUACUAAAUUUCUUAGCCACUUUUGGAGAUGUUUAUGGGCUAAGUUGGGUGAUAGAGGCGGGGUGUCCCGAUCUUUCGAUGAGAUGAUAACUACCGAUUUGGUGGAGACGACUUUGACGAUCCGACUACAAACGUGCACGACGUUGCGCCUUAGCAAUCGCUAAACCAACUCCGAGAGGUUAUUGACCACGCUGGAGCACGAUCAACCUGACCACGAAGGUCUAUUCCUGCAAGCAAUCGAAGAACAAGCAAGAAUAUGGUAAAGCAAUCUGAAUAUUGCAAAUAUAUAUGAAGUAUUGAUAAUGGUGGGGAUCCGUAGGCGGUCUUGGUCUGGUCGUUGGACACAAACGAAGUACACGAAGUUGCAAUGGCUAACUUUUAACUAAACAAAUCCCAAGGAAAAGCUACUAGAUGGAUCUACUUAUAUAGGAGCAAGGGGUGGCGGCCAAGGAGGUGGGAGGACGUCCCAAGGCAGCCUAAAACUAAAUCUAGGUCGUACAAGGCCAAUGGGCCCAAGUGGAGGUGAUGUAACACCUUUGGACUUGUAGUUUGACUCGGAUUCUGCUGCAGCAUCAGAUUGUUUCGUCCACAACUCAACGCUCCGGACGAAUUUGAAGGUGAUUCCAAUUGGGUUGGAAAAGUGCACGAAAUCUAGUUUCCAACAAAAAAAGAAUCACCCAAUUCAGAGUCCGUAUGAAAAACUUGUGUGCGUUUUGAGUCAGGUAUGUCUGUGCAGUCCGAACCUGAAUCCAGAACGUAAGAGACUUGGACUCUAUCUUCUCUUGGGCCAAAAGUGACGUGAGAGAACUUUUUGGACAGCAAAUAAACAUCUCUUUCUUCCUUAUCUUCAUAUGUGGAUUGUACAAAUGUCCCAUACACCUGCAAUUAGACAAAACACAAAAGUGUGUGAAGUAUUUUUGUUCUGGAUAACAUAAAUAGAUUAUUGAAUAGUUUGCACUAGAAAUCACCUGACAAAUAUGCAUAUAUGCAAUAUUUUUGGUCAUAUCCAAGGUAGUCAUGUCCUCAUCAUCCUCCCCUUCUUGAAAAUAAAGCCGUCCUCGGCGUUGCUUAAUCUGAAAUGUGGCUAACAAAAGAGACAAGGUGUACAUGUUGUAUAUGUAUAUGUCAUCCAUUUUUACUUCCCUUGAUUUUUGCAUAUAUGACACAUGAAUAGAUGAGUAACUUGCAUAGUUCAUAAAAUCUAAAGCCAAAAAAUUAGCACAAGAAGUAGAAGGCAUGAAAAUAUUGCAACUCAGUUUGCACGUAUAAGUGAAGCUCUUAUUCAUUUCAAAAGAUUGACAAUGUUCAUCAUUAAACCAUCCCAAUAUUGGUGAAUAAACCUUACUUGCAUCAAAUUUACAUGCUACAACAUGCUUAAAUAAGCAAACAUGCAAUAAGUCAUUCAACACAGAAUCAUCACCAAGAUUAGAGGUCAUAUCAAAAUGAUUAAACAUUGGUUCUUUUGCAUCAAUAGUUAAUUCAAUGGGUGCACUCAAAAUUGUUGGUAUUUCAGUUGUUUGAUCACAUGGCAAAGUCAAAUUAUCAACGUAGUCCUCUAAAAUAGGUGGUGUGAUCAAAGUAGUGGGUAGCUCAUCAGAUGGUGCAUUCAAAUUGACAAGGCAUUCAUCAUUCUCAUGUAGAGAUGGAAGAUCAGUACCUUUGUCAUUACCUCUUAUGAUCAACUCAGAUGAUGUAGCCACUCUCGGGGGGGAUGUGUCACAUGGUGGAGGUGAUGUAGUCCUGACAACAACGGAUGUGGUUGUCAUAGUAUGCCUAGUAGUUGAAGGAACAAUCAUAUCAACUCUUGGAAUGUGCACCGUGCGCUUGUUCUCCUCGUGGCCAACACGUCGUUUUAUUUCCUGUUCAGCUUUGCAAGCAAGAUGAAACAAAUGGUCCAUAGGAUAACACUCUUCAUGAAUUAGUAUCUCUUGAAUAUCACGGUUUAAUCCUCCCCAAAAUCUAUCCAUAAAAUCAUCUUCACUUUCUUCUAAAGAGGAAUGCAACAAGGUAGUUUGUAAAUCAUCAUAAUAUUUUGUUACAGUUUCACUACCUUGCUUUAAGUGUUGCAACUUCUUAAUCAUGUCACGAGUAUAAUAAGCAGGGACGAAAGUAUGUCGCAUGGCAAGUUUCAAAUCAUCCCAAGUAGUAGGUAUAUAAUCAGGGUGUAACCGACAAUAUUCACUCCACCAAACCAAAGCAUAACCAGUGAAAGAACCAACCGCAACCUUAACCUUUUUAUGUUCAUCGAAAUUAUGGGAAGCAAAUAUAUUUUUUAUGUCGAACUCCCAUUCAAUAUAUAAAGCAGGUUUAAAACGGCCAUUAAAUGGUGGUAUAGAUACAUUAACCUGAUCAUGUGCAUUUGGAUGUUUGUGCACCUCUCGUGACGGUUGUGGUAUUUGCAAAGGUGGUGGCACGUCUCCCGCGAUCGACAAAGCCCAUGAAUUGACUGUGGAUCCUGUCAUGAUUAGUAGAACAAGAAACAAAACCCAAAAAUAUUGUUCCUUCAACUACUAGGCAUACUAUGACAACCACAUCCGUUGUUGUCAGGACUACAUCACCUCCACCAUGUGACACAUCGCCCCCGAGAGUGGCUACAUCAUCUGAGUUGAUCAUAAGAGGUAAUGACAAAGGUACUGAUCUUCCAUCUCUACAUGAGAAUGAUGAAUGCCUUGUCAAUUUGAAUGCACCAUCUGAUGAGCUACCCACUACUUUGAUCACACCACCUAUUUUAGAGGACUACGUUGAUAAUUUGACUUUGCCAUGUGAUCAAACAACUGAAAUACCAACAAUUUUGAGUGCACCCAUUGAAUUAACUAUUGAUGCAAAAGAACCAAUGUUUAAUCAUUUUGAUAUGACCUCUAAUCUUGGUGAUGAUUCUGUGUUGAAUGACUUAUUGCAUGUUUGCUUAUUUAAGCAUGUUGUAGCAUGUAAAUUUGAUGCAAGUAAGGUUUAUUCACCAAUAUUGGGAUGGUUUAAUGAUGAACAUUGUCAAUCUUUUGAAAUGAAUAAGAGCUUCACUUAUACGUGCAAACUGAGUUGCAAUAUUUUCAUGCCUUCUACUUCUUGUGCUAAUUUUUUGGCUUUAGAUUUUAUGAACUAUGCAAGUUACUCAUCUAUUCAUGUGUCAUAUAUGCAAAAAUCAAGGGAAGUAAAAAUGGAUGACAUAUACAUAUACAACAUGUACACCUUGUCUCUUUUGUUAGCCACAUUUCAGAUUAAGCAACGCCGAGGACGGCUUUAUUUUCAAGAAGGGGAGGAUGAUGAGGACAUGACUACCUUGGAUAUGACCAAAAAUAUUGCAUAUAUGCAUAUUUGUCAGGUGAUUUCUAGUGCAAACUAUUCAAUAAUCUAUUUAUGUUAUCCAGAACAAAAAUACUUCACACACUUUUGUGUUUUGUCUAAUUGCAGGUGUAUGGGACAUUUGUACAAUCCACAUAUGAAGAUAAGGAAGAAAGAGAUGUUUAUUUGCUGUCCAAAAAGUUCUCUCACGUCACUUUUGGCCCAAGAGAAGAUAGAGUCCAAGUCUCUCACGUUCUGGAUUCAGAUUCGGACUGCACAGACAUACCUGACUCAAAACGCACACAAGUUUUUCAUACGGACUCCGAAUUGGGUGAUUCUUUUUUUGUUGGAAACUAGAUUUCGUGCACUUUCCCAACCAAUUGGAAUCACCUUCAAAUUCGUCCGGAGCGUUGAGUUGUGGACGAAACAAUCUGAUGCUGCAGCAGAAUCCGAGUCAAACUACAAGUCCAAAGGUGUUACAUCACCUCCACUUGGGCCCAUUGGCCUUGUACGACCUAGAUUUAGUUUUAGGCUGCCUUGGGACGUCCUCCCACCUCCUUGGCCGCCACCCCUUGCUCCUAUAUAAGUAGAUCCAUCUAGUAGCUUUUCCUUGGGAUUUGUUUAGUUAAAAGUUAGCCAUUGCAACUUCGUGUACUUCGUUUGUGUCCAACGACCAGACCAAGACCGCUUACGGAUCCCCACCAUUAUCAAUACCUCAUAUAUAUUUGCAAUAUUCAGAUUGCUUUAUCAUAUUCUUGCUCGUUCUUCGAUUGCUUGCAGGAAUAGACCUUCGUGGUCAGGCUGACCGUGCUUCCGGCAUCGUCAGUAACCUCAGGAGAUUGGUUUAGCGAUUGCUAAGGCGCAACGUCGUGCACGUUUGUAGUCGGAUUGUCAAAGUCGUCUCCACCAAAUCGAUAGUUAUCAUCUCAUCGAAAGAUCGGGACCCUCGCCUCUAUCAUCAUGUCCUCAUCAUCCUCCCCUUCUUGAAAAUAAAGCCGUCCUCGGCGUUGCUUAAUCUGAAAUGUGGCUAACAAAAGAGACAAGGUGUACAUGUUGUAUAUGUAUAUGUCAUCCAUUUUUACUUCCCUUAAUUUUUGCAUAUAUGACACAUGAAUAGAUGAGUAACUUGCAUAGUUCAUAAAAUCUAAAGCCAAAAAAUUAGCACAAGAAGUAGAAGGCAUGAAAAUAUUGCAACUCAGUUUGCACAUAUAAGUGAAGCUCUUAUUCAUUUCAAAAGAUUGACAAUGUUCAUCAUUAAACCAUCCCAACAUUGGUGAAUAAACCUUACUUGCAUCAAAUUUACAUGCUACAACAUGCUUAAAUAAGCAAACAUGCAAUAAGUCAUUCAACACAGAAUCAUCACCAAGAUUAGAGGUCAUAUCAAAAUGAUUAAACAUUGGUUCUUUUGCAUCAAUAGUUAAUUCAAUGUGUGCACUCAAAAUUGUUGGUAUUUCAGUUGUUUGAUCACAUGGCAAAGUCAAAUUAUCAACGUAGUCCUCUAAAAUAGGUGGUGUGAUCAAAGUAGUGGGUAGCUCAUCAGAUGGUGCAUUCAAAUUGACAAAGCAUUCAUCAUUCUCAUGUAGAGAUGGAAGAUCAGUACCUUUGUCAUUACCUCUUAUGAUCAACUCAGAUGAUGUAGCCACUCUCGGGGGCGAUGUGUCACAUGGUGGAGGUGAUGUAGUCCUGACAACAACGGAUGUGGUUGUCAUAGUAUGCCUAGUAGUGGAAGGAACAAUCAUAUCAACUCUUGGAAUGUGCACCGUGCGCUUGUUCUCGUGGCCAACACGUCGUUUUAUUUCCUGUUCAGCUUUGCAAGCAAGAUGAAACAAAUGGUCCAUAGGAUAACACUCUUCAUGAAUUAGUAUCUCUUGAAUAUCACGGUUUAAUCCUCCCCAAAAUCUAUCCAUAAAAUCAUCUUCACUUUCUUCUAAAGAGGAAUGCAACAAGGUAGUUUGUAAAUCAUCAUAAUAUUUUGUUACAGUUUCACUACCUUGUUUUAAGUGUUGCAACUUCUUAAUCAUGUCACGAGUAUAAUAAGCAGGGACGAAAGUAUGUCGCAUGGCAAGUUUCAAAUCAUCCCAAGUAGUAGGUAUAUAAUCAGGGUGUAACCGACAAUAUUCACUCCACCAAACCAAAGCAUAACCAGUGAAAGAACCAACCGCAACCUGAACCUUUUUAUGUUCAUCGAAAUUAUGGGAAGCAAAUAUAUUUUUUAUGUCGAACUCCCAUUCAAUAUAUAAAGCAGGUCUAAAACGGCCAUUAAAUGGUGGUAUAGAUACAUUAACCUGAUCAUGUGCAUUUGGAUGUUUGUGCACCUCUCGUGACGGUUGUGGUAUUUGCAUAGGUGGUGGCAUGUCUCCCGCGAUCGACAAAGCCCAUGAAUUGACUCUGGAUCCUGUCAUGAUUAGUAGAACAAGAAACAAAAUCCAAAAAUAAUAUUCCUAUAACUACUAGGAUGUGGUGGUAAAACGCUCACAGUAAAGCAAAUAUCAAUGUCUUACAAGUUCUUACCAUGCAGCAGGCGGUGAUCGGCAACCAGCGGUGUCAAGUAACUCCGAAUAUUGAGUGAAGCGAUUGCCAAGGGAGCGUACGUAUACACGGUGUAGAAAUAUGUGGAGCUAGGUUGGCUAUAUAUGGUAGCAAAAGAUUAGCAAUAAUCAAUUCAAAGAUGUAAUGUUGAAUAAACGCUCAACGACGGUACUGUGCUGGUCCUAGGCUAGACCGGACUAGAGACGCGAGCCUAGAACACUAAUGAGGUCACGGCGUAGCACAACUAGCAUCAAUGAAGGAUACUAAGUAGCUCUUGACAGCAAGAUAUAAGUGAAGAUCACAACGGCAGUGAAGAUAAUGAUGAAAAACAACUGCCAAGCAGGAUAUACAACAACUCUCUCUCCAAAUUUCCUCUUGAAAAGUUUGAGACAAUUUUCUGAUAAAUUCUUUCAAAGAAUGCUACUAACUCAAGCUUUCCAAUGCAAAAAGAUUCACUCAAUUCCGAGUUGAUAUGAGGAGUCAAACAAUUCUAAAACUGGCCUGAAAAAUUGGAACAAGCUGUGUUCACGAACUUCAGAGGGCAAAAAGACCUAUUUAGAAGCCGAUUUUGAGGUGUCAAAUAUUGAACUAGCUUCUGCAACUAUUUAGAUGCGGCUCGUCGCUAGCUUCAAUUUGAGUACUCACGGAGCCAAAACGGACUUCGUAUGAGGAAGAUACACCUGUUUUACUAAACAGUGCGCAAAACAGAUUCCAAUCCGAAUUCAACUACGAGAUUGAGUCUAGAUAGAUCCGAAUUUUGUUUUUUUUUCUGCUCUCUUUUUUUUUCUCACACUUUUUUUUCUUUUUCUUCUCUCUCUUUUUCUUUUUUUUUCUUUCCUUUUUUCUCUUUUUUUUUCUGUAUCUUUUUUUUUCUUUCCAAGACAAACUAGAUAAGAUGCAGAUUGGAUCAGGCGAAGAUGUGAAUGACCUCAACUAUGAUUAUGACAAUGAAAAGUGCGUAGCACGUGGUGGAAAUUAAUAGAUGGGAUGGUGGACAGCGGAAGGGAUAAUGAUGCAGCAGCGGCGUGACUAAUGUGAACAGAACUUGAAACUCUAAAGGAACUAGACGCUAAGACCAGCAACUUACACGACGAUGCAACCGAUAAUUCAACUAUGCAAGCAAUGAAUAGAAAAUUGCAAAGGCUCAGACUGGCUUGGAUAAAGGAUGAACAGAUCUAACUUUUUUUUGUGUGGCUUUUUCUUGGAUAAUAGGUAAGAAAAUAAAUCUAAUCUAGGAAAACUGGAAAUUCUCACCGAGUAACCUGAAAACUAAUACCACUUGAUAGAGGCGGGGUGUCCCGAUCUUUCGAUGAGAUGAUAACUAUCGAUUUGGUGGAGACGACUUUGACGAUCCGACUACAAACGUGCACGACGUUGCGCCUUAGCAAUCGCUAAACCAAUCUCCUGAGGUUACUGAUGAUGCCGGAAGCACGGUCAGCCUGACCACGAAGGUCUAUUCCUGCAAGCAAUCGAAGAACGAGUAAGAAUAUGAUAAAGCAAUCUGAAUAUUGUAAAUAUAUAUGAGGUAUUGAUAAUGGUGGGGAUCCGUAAGCGGUCUUCGUCUGGUCGUUGGACACAAACGAAGUACACGAAGUUGCAAUGGCUAACUUUUAACUAAACAAAUCCCAAGGAAAAGCUACUAGAUGGAUCUACUUAUAUAGGAGCAAGGGGUGGCGGCCAAGGAGGUGGGAGGACGUCCCAAGGCAGCCUAAAACUAAAUCUAGGUCGUACAAGGCCAAUGGGCCUAAGUGGAGGUGAUGUAACACCUUUGGACUUGUAGUUUGACUCGGAUUCUGCUGCAGCAUCAGAUUGUUUCGUCCACAACUCAACGCUCCGGACGAAUUUGAAGGUGAUUCCAAUUGGGUUGGAAAGUGCACGAAAUCUAGUUUCCAACAAAGAAAGAAUCACCCAAUUCGGAGUCCGUAUGAAAAACUUGUGUGCGUUUUAAGUCAGGUGUGUCUGUGCAGUCCGAAUCUGAAUCCAGAACGUGAGAGACUUGGACUCUAUCUUCUCUUUGGCCAAAAGUGACGUGAGAGAACUUUUUGGACAGCAAAUAAACAUCUCUUUCUUCCUUAUCUUCAUAUGUGGAUUGUACAAAUGUCCCAUACACCUGCAAUUAGACAAAACACAAAAGUGUGUGAAGUAUUUUUGUUCUGGAUAACAUAAAUAGAUUAUUGAAUAGUUUGCACUAGAAAUCACCUGACAAAUAUGCAUAUAUGCAAUAUUUUUGGUCAUAUCCAAGGUAGUCAUGUCCUCAUCAAUUUGUGGUAGUUUACUUUGAUGACAUAUUGAUUUAUAGCAGAUCUUUGGAAGAACAUUUGGAACAUUUACGUGCUGUUUUUAUUGCUCUACGUGAUGCACAUUUGUUUGGUAACCUUGGGAAGUGCACCUUUUGCACCGACCGAGUAUCUUUUCUUGGCUAUGUUGUUACUCCACAGGGAAUUGAAGUUGAUAAAGCCAAGAUUGAAGCUAUUGAGAGUUGGCCGCAACCCAAAACGGUCACACAAGUGAGGAGUUUUCUUGGCCUCGCUGGAUUCUAUAGGCGUUUUGUGAGAGAUUUCAGCACCAUUGCUGCACCUCUCAAUGAGCUUACAAAGAAAGAUGUGCCUUUUCUUUGGGGUACCGCACAGGAAGAAGCCUUCUCGGUAUUGAAAGAUAAGUUGACACAUGCUCCUUUAAUCCAACUUCCUGAUUUUAAUAAGACUUUUGAGCUUGAAUGUGAUGCUAGUGGAAUUGGAUUAGGCGGUGUUUUAUUACAAGAUGGCUUACGGAUCCCCACCAUUAUCAAUACCUCAUAUAUAUUUGCAAUAUUCAGAUUGCUUUAUCAUAUUCUUGCUCGUUCUUCGAUUGCUUGCAGGAAUAGACCUUCGUGGUCAGGCUGACCGUGCUUCCGGCAUCGUCAGUAACCUCAGGAGAUUGGUUUAGCGAUUGCUAAGGCGCAACGUCGUGCACGUUUGUAGUCGGAUCGUCAAAGUCGUCUCCACCAAAUCGAUAGUUAUCAUCUCAUCGAAAGAUCGGGACACCCCGCCUCUAUCAAGUGGUAUCAGUUUUCAGGUUGCUCGGUGAGAAUUUCCAGUUUUUCCUAGAUUAGAUUUAUUUUCUUACCUAUUGUCCAAAAAAAGCCACAAAACAAAAGUUAGAUCUAUUCAUCCUUUGUCCUAGCCAGACUGAGCCUUUGCAAUUUUCUUUUCAUUGUUUGCAUUAUUGAAUUAUCGGUUGCAUCGCCGUGUCAAGUUGCUGGUCUUAGUGUCUAGUUCCUUUAGAGUUUCGAGUUCUGUUCACAUUAGUCACGCAGCCGCUGCAUCAUUAUGCCAUCCGCUGUCCACCAUCCCAUCCACCAAUUUCCACCAUGUGCUACACACUGUUUAUUGUCAUAAUCAUAGUUGAGGUCACUCACAUCUUCGCCUGAUCGAAUCUGCAUCUUAUCUAGUUUGUCUUGGAAAGAGGGAGAAAAAGAAGAUAAAGAAAAAAAAGAGAGAAAAAAGGAAAGAAAAAAA